ACGCCUACGGGGGAUUUUUGGGUCGCAUUGCAUUCCAAAGACAGUUUGUUCACUCGUGUGUUUGUGAGUCACUCUUUGGUCGGAAAGUUUUUCAUCAAGACGCUAAAGGUGGAGACUGUGGUUCAUCUCAUUAAUGGAGGGAAACCUCAUGGAAUUGUUGUGAAACUCUCUGGAGAGACAGGAGAGAUUCUUGAGAUACUUGAGGACAGUGAAGGGAAGACGAUGAAGUAUGUUAGUGAAGCUUACGAGAGAGAAGAUGGCAACUUAUGGUUUGGGUCUGUGUAUUGGCCGGCCGUUUGGGUGCUUGAUAAAUCUGUUUACGCUCUCAAAUGAGUUAGCAAAUGCAAACAAAAAAGUAAUAAUUUGGUCGUAUGAUCUUCUUUUUUCUAACUUGUUAGAAGACAUGCAUCUUCGUUUGUAUCUUCUUGUUGUUGUGUGAAUGGACUUUGAUUCUGCGAAAUUUUGGUUCAGUUGAGUAAUUCAAUGUAGUUUUGUGGUAAAGCGAAAAUUGUGUUUGUGGUAAAAUGAUUUAUGAUGUACAUCUAGUUAAGGUUCUAGGUUAAUUUUUCCGUUUUGCUAGCAUCCCAUAAUUAAGCACUACUCUACUUGAACUGGUUUCUGAUCUGAAAUUUGAUUUGAUUAACCUGCUCAAUGUGAAUUAGUACUAGAGUUAAGCUCUCUUGCCACUUUUUAAUUUAAUGCACCACCAAAAGUGAUCAAAAAAAAGUUCUGCUAAAUGCUAAAGCCUAUCUCGUAUUUUUUUUUAAAAUUACAUAAUACAUUCAAAAGAGUUAGUUAUUAAUCUUAGCAUUUGGUGCAAUAUGAUCAGUGGGUGGGCUGAGUAUCAACAAUCAUAUAAAACUGAUUAAGAUUUUUGUCCAUUAAAUAUUCUCGUCCAUAACACACACACACAUAUAUAUAUAGUUUAACAGGUUCGUAGAUCCAAUUUUUCGUAUAAUUUUUUUAAUAUUAAAACCCGAAAACUUGAAUUCAUUUGACAAAUAAAUCCACGGUUACAACUAAAAUAUAAACAAACAAAAAUUAUUAAGAAGGAACAAAACUAUAUACAUGUAUGGGACCUUGUGGUCUAGUGGUAAAGAGAAUAACUUGGGAAGCCAACACGUUUCAGAUUUGAUCAACCUAUUGCGCGAACCUAAGUUACAUUCUUCAUGGAUAUCCAAAUGAAUAUGAGUUCUCGCUUUUGGGUCAUUUGAAAAUCGGGAGAGAAAGUAUUCAAGGACUGCAUUUUCUCUUGGAGAUUAGUCUGAACCCUUUGUCUCGAGAUAUCCCCAAAUUAAUAAAAAAUAGUUUAACUCUGUGAUGGUAAUUUUCAUUUAAAAAAAAAACUUUAUGUUUUUAAAUUUUUUUUUAAUGUAAGCUGAUAUAAGAAGUUUCAGUCAUAGAAAUUUAAAUGUAUUUGUUUACACUAAUCUUAGUCAUUUUUUAAAACAUGAUUUAAGAUAAAUUUCUAUUCAAAUUAGAUUUUCUAAAAUAUGAAAUAUGAAAACAUAUUCUAUUUUUUAGUUUUUGUUUAAAAGGAUACGAUAUGGCUCUAAAUUUUGAAUGUUCAAUAAAUGUAAAAAAAAAUUAAUGCCGAUUUUUAAAUCGGAUGUGUCAAGUCAAAAUUUUAUUAUUCAAUGUGUUUGACAAAAACAAUUGUCGUAAAUUUAAAGAUAUAUGGUUAUUUUGCGUUUGAUUCUGAUUUUAUAACAUAUUUAUAUUUGUUUUUAUUUUUAUUUUGUAACAUAUAAGAAGUUUCAGUUAGAUAAAUUUGAAUGUAAUUGUUUGCAAUAAUCUUAGUCAUUUCUUAAGAUAAAUUUAUAUCUGAUUAGAUUUUCUAUAAUAAGAAAUAUUCAAAUAUAUUAAACUUUAUACUUUAUGUUUAAAAUGAUAUAAUCGGGCUUUAAGUUUUAAAUGUUCCAAACAUGUAAAAUAUUUGAACACUUCUUUUUAAAUCAAAUAUUUCAAACUAAUUUUUUAUUAUUGAAUGUGUUUGAGAUAAAAUAUCAUAAAUUUAAAGAUAUAUUUCUAUUCAUAAUAUUUUUUAGAUUGUUUGAAAACUUAUAAUUAUUUUCCUUUUGAAUAAAAUUAGAACAAUCCUUUUUUUAUCUUUGAGAUUUUUGAAAUUUUUUUUUAAGAUGAUGAGUUUGUGAAGAAAAUAAUAUUUUGUGAUUGAUUCUGAUUUUAUAACAUCUUGAUAACCUAUUAUAAAGUACUUUAUACAUUCAUAAAAUAACUUACAAACCUUUUACAAAUUUUAGUAGGGGUUAUUGGUUGUUGUAUUUUAAUGGAUUUGAAAAUCCGAACCAAAUCUAGUGUUAUUGGUUCUGUGAUUUUAAAAUCUGUAUUAAAAUCAUGUGUUAUUGGUUUAAUGAUUCAUAAAUUCUAUAUUAAAUCAAGUGUUAUUCAAUCGUACGAAUUUACUAAUAUAUUUGAUUUUAUAAUGGAUUUGAAUGAAUUUGUUUGGAUUUUUUUGUUAAAAAUACAAAGACUCAAAUCCGAGGGAAAACCUUCGGAUUUGCAUAUUUUACUUGGAUUUAUAAAUACUAUAUGGAGUUAUAAAUCAAUCAAAAUAUAUAAACCAAUAACAAACCUUUAUGAAUAAUUUCACAGAACCCUUGUCCUCCGUCUUCUCUUUGCUGCUGUCUCGUCUUCUCGUGUUUCCUCGCCGUCUUUUCGCGAUUCAGGGGUAGAGUCUCAUUCCAGAGACGAGGUCCGAGUCGAGAGGAGUCUUCCGACUGGUGGUGGUUCUUCUUCUCCUGGUGUUUCGGCGCGGCGAAGACUGGUUCUCGAGACAGUGGUCGGCUUUUUAGUUUAUGAAAGCUGCUAGGUUUUUAUCUCUCGGCGCUUUUGGUUGUUACUAAACGAGCAGAGGACUGAGAGCUUCUCUUCUGUUCAUUUCAUCGGUCGUCUCUGCGGGUUUUUUCCAGGAGAUGGUGGCAACGGUGGAUCGUUCUUGACCUCUUCAAUGGUAUGUUGAAGAGCGAUGCGCCUUCUCCCUAGUCAAAAUGUGCGCUGGUGGGUCCUUUACCAUACUGGCGCACCCUGAACCUUUGUGUGCUGGUGUGAAGGUACUUAGUUCAGUUCCAGCUCGCGUUAGGGUGGUGAGUCGUCUGAAGGAGUCGUCUAUCGCUUCUCGGUGGCGGCUCACAGUUCUUCUUCACUUCCAAUCUCUUCUACUCAUCUCCUUCUCCUGUCAUCCGACUGAAGGUGGCCUCUUUCUUUGCGGAGCUUAGGCCUUUGUAUCACCUUGUUUUGUUUGGUUUCUGUUGAUACCAGAAGCCGCUCCUAGCAGCUCAGAUUAUUUUCCUUCGUUCUUGGAGGCUUCAAGUGUUGUGACGGUUCUUGGCUGAUGUCACACUUCGUCUAUGCUCACAUCCGAGAAUCGUAUAGGUUCACAUGAUCUUGUGCGGUGGUGCAGCUUGACUUGUCUGUGCAGGCUCGAGGUCCUUUUCAGGCUUGGGAGUGUUGGUGAUAACAACUCCGUUCUUGCAUUCAAGCAGCAGUAGCGGGUGUACAUCUCGUUUUUGAAACUCCGCUCAGGUAAGGGAUCUUUUGGAACUCCCGCUUUUUGUUGUUUCGAGCUUUAGUGUCGAAUUAGAUUAUUAACUUAGAUGAGAUCAUCGUAAGUUAGUUACUCCGGAGGCGACAUGGGAAGACCCUGGCAUCCGAGGAAACGAGGGGAAUCUCUCCUUCUCGUGGUUCUCAUUGAUGGUUGAGAACGAUUUUCAAUAGGAUUACGAAUCCGAGCUAGCGGAACGCGCCAUGUAUAUGGUCGAGCAAAGCUAGUUAAGAGCAUUUUGAUUUGAGAAAUUUUGUUUAGUCGAAGUUUGUAAUUGAAAUCUAUUCCCAUUUCGGGUUGAUAGAUAAAAUUUUAAUUUUUCUAUUAAAAAAAACUAUGUCUCUGUUUUUGUUACAUCUUGUUUGGAUUCGAAUAUGAUGCAGUACAAAAGCAGAAGAAACACAUGAGAAAUAGUCUUCAGUUUUAUCUGCAUUUUUUGUCUAUUCAUCGUUAAUAUGCAGAACAAAAGGAAAUAAUAUAAUAUUUAAUAAACUGUUUGUAAAUAAUUUUAUAUGUAAAAAAAAUUGUCCCCCAAACAUAGCAAAAUAAAAAGAUGACCAAAAACAUAGGGCCAAUAGGUGAUUUUUUUUUUCCUAAAAAUACUACACCCAUCUUAAUUUAUUGGAAAAUUGCCAAAAAUACAUUUUUGAAAGUACCACCUUUCAUGUUUACAAUAACCACUUUUACAUUCAUCUUUAAUGAACGGUAAAAGACAUUUAUACCCUUUUGAUUAAUUUUGACCAAAAAAAAACAUAUGGUUAACUAAUCUACACUUAAAACAUCGACUCUAAACCCUAAAUCAUCAACUCUAAACUCUAAACCCUAAACAUCAACUCUAAACCUUAAACCCCGAAACAUCAACUCUAAACCCAAAACCCUAAACCUUCAAAUCUAAACCCUAAAACAUCAACUCUAAACCCUAAACGUAAACACUGAACCCUGAAUCCUAUAUUUUUCUGAAAUUCGAACCCUAAACCCUAAAACCCUAAACCUUCAAAUCUAAACCCUAAAACAUCAACUUUAAACCCUAAAUGUAAACCCUAAACCUUAAAACCCUAAACCUUCAAAUCUAAACCCUAAAACAUCAACUCUAAGGUUUUAGGGUUUAGGGUUUAUUAUUUAGGGUUUAGGGUUUAGAGAUAAGGGUUUAGGGUUUAGAGUUGAUGUUUCAGGGUUUAGGGUUCGUAUUUUAAAAAAAAAGGUUUCAGGAUUGAUGGAAAUCUAAACCCUAAAACAUCAACUUUAAACCCUAAAUGUAAACCCUAAACCCUAAAACCCUAAACCUUCAAAUCUAAACCCUAAAACAUCAACUCUAAGGUUUUAGGGUUUAGGGUUUAUUAUUUAGGGUUUAGGGUUUAGAGAUAAAGGUUUAGGGUUUAGAGUUGAUGUUUUAGGGUUUAGAGUUGAUGUUUUAGGGUUUAGAGUUGAUGUUUUAGGGUUUAGGGUUUAGAGUUUACUUUUUAGGGUUUAGGGUUUAGUGUUGAUAGUGUUGGGUUUAGUGUUGAUGGUUUAGAGUUUAGAGUUGAAGUUUAGGGUUUAGGGUUUAGAGUUGAUGUUUUAGGGUUUAGAGUUGAAGGUUUAGGGUUUAGGGUUUAGGGUUUAGAGUUGAUGUUUUGGGGUUUAGGGUUUAGAGUUGAUGUUUCUGGGUUUAGGGUUUAGAGUUGAUGUUUCAGGGUUUAGGGUUCGUAUUUUAAAAAAAAAGGUUUCAGGAUUGAUGGUUUAGGGUUUAGGGUUGAGUUUUAGGGUUUAGAGUUUGAAUUUCGAAAUAGUAUAAUUUAUUUAAAUAUUUUUGUAAUAUGUAUUUUUUAUAUAUAUAAAGAAUAAGGGCAGAAGAGUCUUUUGCCACUUAACGAAGAAUGUAUUUUUGAAAAUGUAUUUUUUGUGGAGGUAAAAAUGAAAAUUGGUAGCAUGAAAGUGGUAAAUAUGUCAGUUUCCCAUUUAUUGGAAAAUUGCCAAAAAUACAUUUUUCAAAGUACCACCUUUCAUGUUUACACUAACCACUUUUACAUUCAUCUUUAAUGAAGGGUAAAAGACAUUUAUACUCUUUUGAUUAAGUUUGACAAAAAAAAACAUAUGGUUAACUAAUCUAAACUUAAAACAUCAACUCUAAACCCUAAACCAUGAAACAUCAACUCUAAACCCUAAACCCCGAAACAUCAACUCUAAACCCUAAACCCUAAACCAUCAAAUCUAAACCCUAAAACAUCAACUCUAAACCCUAAACGUAAACAUUGAACCCUGAACCCUAUAUUUUUCUGAAAUUCCAACCCUAAACCUUCAAAUUUAAACCCUAAAACAUCAACUCUAAACCCUAAACCCUAAACUUUCAACUCUAAACCCUAACACAUCAACUCUAAACCCUAAACCCUAAACCAUCAAAUCUAAACCCUAAAACAUCAACUCUAAGGUUUUAGGGUUUAGGGUUUAUUAUUUAGGGUUUAGGGUUUAGAGAUAAAGGUUUAGGGUUUAGAGUUGAUGUUUUAGGGUUUAAAUUUGAAGGUUUAGGGUUGGAAUUUCAGAAAAAUAUAGGGUUCAGGGUUCAAUGUUUACGUUUAGGGUUUAGAGUUGAUGUUUUAGGGUUUAGGGUUUAGUGUUGAUAGUUUAGGGUUUAGAGGUGAAGUUUAGGGUUUAGGGUUUAGAGUUGAUGUUUUAGGGUUUAGAGUUGAAGGUUUAGGGUUUAGGGUUUAGGGUUUAGAGUUGAUGUUUUGGGGUUUAGGGUUUAGAGUUGAUGUUUCUGGGUUUAGGGUUUAGAGUUGAUGUUUCAGGGUUUAGGGUUCGUAUUUUAAAAAAAAAGGUUUCAGGAUUGAUGGUUUAGGGUUUAGGGUUGAGUUUUAGGGUUUAGAGUUUGAAUUUCGAAAUAGUAUAAUUUAUUUAAAUAUUUUUGUAAUAUGUAUUUUUUAUAUAUAUAAAGAAUAAGGGCAGAAGAGUCUUUUGCCACUUAACGAAGAAUGUAUUUUUGAAAAUGUAUUUUUUGUGGAGGUAAAAAUGAAAAUUGGUAGCAUGAAAGUGGUAAAUAUGUCAGUUUCCCAUUUAUUGGAAAAUUGCCAAAAAUACAUUUUUCAAAGUACCACCUUUCAUGUUUACACUAACCACUUUUACAUUCAUCUUUAAUGAAGGGUAAAAGACAUUUAUACUCUUUUGAUUAAGUUUGACAAAAAAAAACAUAUGGUUAACUAAUCUAAACUUAAAACAUCAACUCUAAACCCUAAACCAUGAAACAUCAACUCUAAACCCUAAACCCCGAAACAUCAACUCUAAACCCUAAACCCUAAACCAUCAAAUCUAAACCCUAAAACAUCAACUCUAAACCCUAAACGUAAACAUUGAACCCUGAACCCUAUAUUUUUCUGAAAUUCCAACCCUAAACCUUCAAAUUUAAACCCUAAAACAUCAACUCUAAACCCUAAAUGUAAACCCUAAACCUUCAAAUAUAAACCCUAAAACAUCAACUCUAAGGUUUUAGGGUUUAGGGUUUAGGGUUUAUGAUUUAGGGUUUAGGGUUUAGGGUUUAGAGAUGAAGGUUUAGGGUUUAGAGUUGAUGUUUUAGGGUUUAGGGUUUAGUGUUGAUAGUUUAGGGUUUAGAGGUGAAGUUUAGGGUUUAGGGUUUAGAGUUGAUGUGUUAGGGUUUAGAGUUGAAAGUUUAGGGUUUAGGGUUUAGAGUUGAUGUUUCGGGGUUUAGGGUUUAGAGUUGAUGUUUCAGGGUUUAGGGUUCGUAUUUAAAAAAAAAGGUUUGAGGAUUGAUGGUUUAGGGUUUAGGGUUUGAAUUUCGAAAUAGUAUAAUUAAUUUAAAUAUUUUUGUAAUAUGUAUUUUUUAUAUAUAUAAAGAAUAUGCGCAGAAGAGUCUUUUGCCACUUAAUGAAGAAUGUAUUUUUGAAAAUAUAUUUUUUGUGGUGGUAAAAAUGAAAAGUGGUAGCAUGAAAGUGGUAAACAAGUAAUUUCCCCUAAUUUAUUUCAUUUAUUAACCAAAAAAACUAUAUAAUAUUUUUGUAAACAAUUAUAUAUUUUUUACUUGAUAUAUUCAUAAAUUUAACUUAAUUUUCUGUAUAAAUAUUUAUAUAGUUACACUAAAUAAUUUUAUAUAAUAUUUAAAUAAAUAUAAAAACAUAUAUGGUUGGUUUUAUUUUUCUUAUUGAUAACAAUUAACAUAAAUUUUCCUAAUUAACAGUUAUGUACAAAAAGAAAAUUCAUCUUAUAAGAUUUUUAUAGAAAUCAGUAUUUAAAUGAAUUCAUGCGUUUUAUUAACUGAUUAUAUUUAAAAUUUUAAAUAGUUAUUUUAUUAUCCUUCAUAUUUUAGACAAUGAAAUUUCGUAUAUAAUUUCUUUUUUUUAUCAUACAUAUAUAUAUUAUAAGACAUUCAUGUAUUUUUAUCCUUUGUUUGUUUAACUGGUUUUUCAUAUUUCAGGUUAUUUAUAUCCACAAAAAUAAUUGCAAAAUAAAAGUACAUUUUCAAUUUGUUUCUUAAGUGAAUUAUAUAUUUUAAAUAUGUUUAAAAUAAGAUAUUUGGAGUUUAGAAAAGGAAACCUUAUAACAAACAUUAGAUAAAUUAUUGCAAAUAUGUUAUGCACAAACAAAAAUACUCUAUAUGAAUUUUUCAGUUUAAUUGUAUGUUGUAAUUGUAUUUAUUUUUACAUAAUGUUUAAAUUUUCAUCGUAUUUAAUAAAAUAAUAAUAUUAAUUGUUUAUAUAUAAGAAUUUGUAAUUUUAUUUUAAAUAUUUAAAUUAUAUAUUUAUUUAUUUUUACAUUCUUUUAAAUAUGAUAAUUUUGUAAAUUAGUUUAACUAGUUCGAUCUACAUUUGUUUUGCAAAUUUAUUUGCUCUGCAAAUUUAAAUGAUUUGUAUUUGUUCUAUUUGAUAUGCAUAAAUAUGUUUGAUCCACAUAUUUUUUUGAUCUGCGUCCCCAUUAAUCGUCGGUGGUGUUUCCUAUUGGUACAGUAACAAAAACGAGUCAUUGGUCCCUUGUUCUGAGUGUUUUUCUGAGAAAGAAUAGUUUAGUAUUAUCGAGACUAGUGGCCUAGAAAACAUUGUAUGGGUCAAAGAUCAAGAAAGUUUUGUUCAGAAAAGAAACAGUAUAAAGACAAAAGGUAGAAAACAUUGUAAGCCUUUUUGGUUAAAGAGAACACUAAUAUGUACCUGCUCAACGUGUGUAACGAGUGUUGUGUCCGAAACACUUGAAAAAGAAUAUCUGUUUUAUCUAUUUAAUAGAGUAAUCAAGUGCACUAUCAUCAUUCACAUAACAACUUCUCCUGAGAGACAAGAGAGAUGCCGAUUAGCCAGAGAGUUCUGAAGCAGGUUGCAGCCUUUCCGGUUGUUUUAGCCAUCGUUUGCUAUUUCUUCUGGCCAUCAAUCAUCGCGCCGGACCUCCUAAAGGGCACGAAGGACGUUCUCCAAAUGGCUAAGACCAUUCCUCUCCCUGGUGAUGGACCAGAGAGCUUAGAAUUUGAUUCACAAGGUGAAGGCCCUUACGUUGGCGUCACUGACGGUCGCAUCCUCAAAUGGCGCGGUGAAGAGCUAGGCUGGGUUGAGUUUGCCUACUCUUCUCCUCACAGGUUCAUUCCUAACAAAAAGUUGCCAACCUUCCUAUGUUUUCGUUGUUCCAUAACUAGUCGUCCAAUAUAUUUUCAUCAAUGUCCAACAAAUCAUUUAGUAAUUAAACGUUUUAUAGGGGAUUAAUUAGGGUAUAGGUGGGCGCCUAUACGCUGUCUAAACCGAUUUUGAAAAAUAGUUCUAGAAAUCUUUUCGCUUAAGACUAAUUUAUUUAUGACCGAUUUGUUAGAACAUUGAUUUUCAAUAACCUUGCUAGUGAAUCUGACCCGCUUUUUUGUUUUGGUGAGUGAAGAGAUAACUGUUCGAGGCAUAAAGUAGUUCCAAGUUGUGGGAGACCAUUGGGACUUAGCUUCCAUAAGAAAACAGGAGAUCUGUACUUUUGUGAUGGUUACUUUGGUGUCAUGAAGGUCGGACCAAAGGGAGGCUUCGCCGAGUUAGUUGUUGAUGAAGCCGAAGGUCGCAAAGUCAUGUUUGCGAACCAAAUGGAUAUAGACCAAGAAGAAGACGUCUUCUACUUCAAUGAUAGCAGCGAUAAAUACCACUUCGAGUAAUUAAAAUUACACAUUCGUUAAUUUAAAUUCACGGUCUUAAUAUUUUUUAUCUGGUUGGUAACAUUAGCAAAACGUGGAAAUGCCAAUAAAAAUAAAAUGAAUAAUAAAUAAACUAUAGAAUAGAUUAACAGAAUGUGACAUAGCUAAUAUAUCUAAAAUAUGAUCGUAUUUUUUUUUUGAUCAAACAAACAUAUAUACAUGUAACCAACUUGUGUAUGUGUUAUGUUUGUUUUGUUGGACAGGCAAGUGUUCUACGUGUAUAUGUCAGGGGAGAAGACAGGAAGAGUAAUUAAAUACGAUAUGAAGAAGAAAGAGGCCACAGUUAUAAUGGACAAACUUCAUUUACCUAAUGGUUUAGCUCUAAGCAAGGACGGAUCCUUUGUACUCACCUGCGAAAGUGGUACAAAUACUAUCCACAGAAUAUGGGUCAAAGGUCCCAAAGCCGGGACCAAUGAGGUUUUCGCAAAGAUCCCGGGUCCUAUGGACAAUAUCCGACGCACGCCUACGGGGCAUUUUUGGGUCGCACUGCAUUCCAAAGACAGUUUGUUUACUCGUGUGUUUCUUAGUCACUCUUUUGUUGGAAAGUUUUUCAUCAAAACGCUGAAGGUGGAGACUGCGAUUCAUCUCGUUAAUGGAGGGAAACCUCAUGGAAUUGUUGUGAAACUCUCUGGAGAGACAGGAGAGAUUCUGGAGAUACUUGAGGACAGUGAAGGGAAGACGAUGAAGUAUGUUAGUGAAGCAUAUGAGAGAGAAGAUGGCAAGUUAUGGAUUGGGUCUGUGUAUUGGCCGGCCGUUUGGGUUCUUGAUAAAUCUGUUUACGGUCUCAAAUGAGCUAGUAAUUUGGUGGUAUGAUCUUCUUUUUAACUUGUUAGAAGACAAGCAUCUUCUUUUGUAUUUUCUUGUUGUUGUGCGAGUGGACUUUGAUUCUGAAGUUUUGAGUUGAGUUGUUUAAUGGAGUUUUGUGGGAUUUUAUAAAUUUUGUCAGGUGGUUAAAAAGAAAAUUUUGUGGGAUUUUAUAAAUUUUGUCAGGUGAUAAACCAUCUACAAAUAUAUAUAUAUAUUUUUAAAAUAGUUUCUCAUAAUUUGGUAACAUUUAAAAAUUAGCACCAAAGAUAUACACGAAAUCAAAAUAUACCCAAAAAUCCGUGAUAAACUAUAAAUAUCAAACAUCACAAAAUAUAUCCAAAAACCAAAACUAGAUCGAAUACAUACAUAAUUUAAUUUAUUACUUAUUUUUGGUGUCACAAUAUAUUUUAAAAUCUCAUUUUUUUUUUUUUUUGUUUUCUUGGAAUUUCUCUUAUAUUUUAGGUUUUGAGUAUAUUUUAUGUAUUUAAUAUAUUUAAAUAUUCUCGUUAUUUGAAUAUAUUUUGAUAAUUUUUUAUUGUUUAUAUAAUCAUAUAUUUAAUUUAACCAUGGUCCAAGCGGCGAUGCGAAAGGCGAUCUAGUGUUCUAGGGUUUCGAUGAUUCAAAGGUAUUGGGAUCCUGGGAUUAGAGAGGAGGAGAGGUUAACGGGUCGAUUUGAAUCGGAGAUUCGAUUUGGAGAUGGGAUUCUCCAAGGUCGGAAGGCUGAAGAUGGAAACUCGAGAUUUUCUUUUGAUUUUGGAUGGGUUGGUUUGAUCGAGGUUACGAUGAAGAUGGAGAUUUGGAUUUGGCGAAAACUAAGGAUUACGAGGAUCGGGAUUUUGAUUUUAAUUUCGAUCAUCAUCAAGACGAAAUUGAAUCAAGAAGAAAACGUAUCUUUUCUCUUUCCUUUAGUUUGAUCAAUCAGAGAUGUGGAGAUACGAAGAUAUCCCGAAAAGUGUUUCAGAAGGAAAGUUAUAAUGUCCUGGUACGAGAAAUGUGGGAUUGUAGAAUGAGUUUGUGGUUAAUGGGAUUAUUACGGGAGAUUGAUUCUGUUAUCAUGAAUCAAAGAGAAAUUAAGGAAAAUUGUGGGAGCCCUAGGAUGAGGAUUUGGGAUCAGUAUAAAAGGAAGAAGGGGUUCUAUACUUGGAUCAUAUACCUUGUAACUUUCUCUCUUGCUAUUGACAAAGAUCAAAGCUUUAUUCUUUUUCUUUUGGCUAUGACACAGAGUCAACUUUUGAGCAAUGUGGGGGAGGUGAAGAACGGAGAAGGAACUCGCAGAAGAUUUCAGUGCCCCAUUUCGAUAAUUCAGCUCUCAUCAAGACUUUUUCCAAAACUCUUAUUGGAAGAUGUAUGAAUCCGGAGGAGCAGGAGAUGAAGGCUCUGAUCUCGAAUCUCCCGAAGAUAUGGAAAUUUGAGGAGAGGGUUGUUGGCUCGGAUUUGGGUUUUGAGAAGUUCCAGUUUGACUUCGAAAAGGAGGAGGACAUGGAGGGGGUUCUUAAGCUUCAACCUAUUCAUUUUGAUUACUGGAUGUUGUCCUUGGCGCGGUGGCAACCUAACAAGUCCUUGCUCUACCCGUCGGAGAUAACAUUUUGGGUUAGAGUCAUAGGAGUCCCGUGGGAGUUCAAAACGGAACCCACUUUUGAGAGCAUUGGUGACGCCAUAGGAAGGACAGUGGCUGUAGAUUUGGAUCACUCUCGCGUGCAAGUGGUGGUUGAUGCUUUUAAUGAGCUGUGUUUUGAAACCACGGUAGACUUCACUGGUGGGGAGUUUUAUGAUGGAGAGGAAGCUCCGGUAUCGCUGCUGUAUGAGAAGCUGUUUGGAUAUUGUCAAGUGUGUGGUAGUCUGUGCCAUAAAGAUGAAGUCUGUCCCUUAGAUGUGAAGAACAUCAAGAAGAGCCCAGAAAAGAAACGAGAAGGAAGAGAAGGUAAUGGUGCUUGGUACGAUGGAGGGAAGUAUGAUGAUCGCGCAAGGAGUUAUAAAGGUGUAGUCAUUAAUGGAAACGCGAAUCAACAGAAUAAAGAAAGAGAAGGCCGGGAGUAUUAUGGCAAAAGUAAGGGCAAGAUGGGGGAGGAAACAUAUUCUAAAUGGAUGAAGGUGUCAGAGAGAGGAAGUAAGAGAGCCUACACUAACCGUGGAACUUAUAGAGGAGAUGGGGAAGCUUCUCGGCACAGACCUGCGAGGAGAGAGGACUCAAGGCCUGGCGCUAAGAGUGGACAAAUUCGACCCUCUUCAGGACAGACUAGGGAGCAACAGCCUCAACAAGAUGCUCGUGAGGAAGUUCGAGAGGAGGUUGAGAUCAGGUCCGCUGAGGAGUCUCGCGCAAUGCCACCUUCUCAAGCGUUUCAAGUGGAACUGGCCAAAUCUCAGGCUGAGGGAACGACAGUCAUCUCGGAUCCUAUUGAUGUGGACCAAGGGUUGGCAGCGGUACAUGGUAUGCAGGAGGAUCAUGUGGACUUAGAAGAUGAGGAUGUAAUGGACAUGGAUGAGAUUAAGGCUCAUCUACUUGAGAAUGAUAUAGAUAUGGAUGCAAAGGAUUUUUUAGAGAAGCUAGAAGAGGAGGAAACUAAGGAAGUGGGCAAGAAACAGAAAGAGGAGAACAAUGCUCAAGAGACAGACGAGGUGGUGUUUGUGGAAGAAGAGCAAGGCACGCUUGGUGGAGAUGCGGUGAAGAAACCAGGAUUACGUAAGAGUCUAUUCAAGCCGUCGACCGGUACUGCGGGAAGUACUAAAAUGAGAGCGUUCAAUGCGCUUGCGUCACCACGUAAGCGAGCUGCAGAGAGGCCAGGAACACGACACGGAGAUACCACCAAUCAAGCAGAGAGUAAGGGUGCUUCAAACCCGAAACUUGGAAAUCAGAGGAUCUGAUUUAUGGUUAGAGUCUUUUCUCAAGGUUUUUCAAGCAGGCAGGGCCUGUCUUAUGAUUUAGGUUGUUUUCUGGUUUUAAUAAGCUCUAUGAGCACUUGCAUUUUUUCUGUUUCUAAGAGUUGUAAGCGUCUGGUCUUACUGCGGUUUUAUGGUGGCUGUUAAGGGAUUUCUUUGAGGAAAAGCAAUGGAAUAAUAAAACAGUCUUGUGUUAUUGGUUUUGUCGUCUAACUAUGGUAAUGAAUUCUUGUAAUCGUUUUGGUUAUAUAGAUGGAUAUAGGAUUAGAAUGUGGGAUGAUGGUCUCGUUGGUUUGGAAAGGAAUCAGAGACAUAAUAGUCUUGUGGCGGGAAGGCGUCUGGUGAGUUUGUCAGAUUGUAGGAGGCGUCUGGUGAGUUUGUUAGGUUUCCAGUGGUGGCACAUGAAGUUAGGAGUUUUGGGUUUUAUCAUUUUUGCAUUGGGGACCACAGACUGUUUUAUAGUUUUGGUAUGUUACUUAUUUGGCAGAGUGAGAUCUCUUUUGUUAAUAGAUGUUCAAUGUUUGGAGAGGUUCUGGUUUAUUGGAUAUGGUGUUGCAGGUUUCUCUUUUAAGAAUAGCUUGAGGGGUUUGGAUUAUCUUAUUGUCUCUGAUACGGUGCGCGAACGUGUUGUGUCCUUGGUAUCAUCAAACCAGGAUCAGUUACUGAUUGGAUGGAGGGGAUUAUAUUAUGAUGCAUAUGCAAUGCGAGCUGAGGUUUUUUUCUCAAACCAAGAAGACAGUGGGUGUUGGUUUUUUAGUGAAACAAACUGGUUUCAAGUGGGAGUGGGUGGUUUUGCGUAUAAAAUGUGUGGCUUUGGUGGGUUACAAGACUGUAGUUUUUUUCUCGUUUAUGGAAUCGAUUUUGUAUUAUUAUGGAGGCUAAGUGAUAGAAAUUGGACAGUAUUAGUGGUAUCAUUUUCGAUUAUUAUGGGAUGGUUCAGAUCACAAAGAAAGGAAAAUAGUUGGAUUGUGGAAAUAGGGUAUCAUUACACCCAUAGACACUCGGCUCUCAGAGCAAAUAAAGAAUAAAUUUUUUAAAUGCGGGUUUUGAGUUGGAAUUGCCGAGGGAUGUGAAGUAAGUGAACUCUAAGCUAUUUGAGCGAGAUAAGGUAUAAACAUAAACCGGAUUUAUUGUUUUUAUCAGAGACAAAACAAGAUUCAGAGUUUGUCCAAAAAUGGCAAGCUCACUUUGGAUUCGAUAACCUAGUCACUAUAGACCCAGUGGGGAGAAGUGGCGGAUUAGCGCUUUUCUAUAAUAAUAAGUAUCAGGUAAAGGUAUUAUAUUCUAGUAACCGAAUGAUUGAUGUGGAAGCGGAAGUCCUGGGCAAAACGGUCUAUCUUACAUUUGUAUAUGGGGACCCAGUUCAAAAAAUGCGGGAACAAGUAUGGGAACAGUUAACUUGAUAUGGACUGGCGAGAUCCGACCCCUGGUUUAUUAUUAGGGAUCUCAACGAGAUUACUGGAAAUCAUGAAAAAGAUGGUGGGGCUAUAAGGAGUGCAGAUUCUUUUAUUCCUUUCAAUAAUAUGAUAAGAAAUAGUGGUCUGGUAGAAUUUCCGGCUAGGAGAAAUAAAAUGUCAUGGCAAAGGAGAAGAGGAAAAGGGAAAGGGGCAGUGAUGGUUCGAUGCCGUUUGGACCGUGCGCUAACAAAUGAAGAAUGACAUACCCUAUUUACAUGUUCCUUUACAGAGUAUUUUGGGAUGGUGGCUUCUGAUCAUCGUCCAGUGGUAGCUUAUAUGGAAGAAAAAGGUCCCAGACGGAAAUGACAAUUUCGGUUUGAUAAGAGGUGGAUUGGGCUAGAGGGUCUCCUAGAAUCAAUUACAAUGGGUUUGAUAGAUUCUAAUGAAGAAAUAGUAGGGGGGGGGGGGGGGGGCAGAGAGCAUAGUGGCAAAAAUUAGUAACUGUCGUCAUGAAAUUGCAAAAUGGCGGAAAAAUAAUUCACCUUAUGGAAAAAAAAAAUAAAUGAGUUACAACAAGCACUUGAAGAGGUGCAAACAAAUAAUACUAGGUCUCAAGAGGAUAUUCUGGAGGUGUCUAGGAAAUUACAAGACGCAUAUAAGGAUGAAGAAGAUUACUGGCAUCAAAAAAGUAGGAACAUGUGGUAUUCAUCUGGGGAUCUGAAUACAAAAUUUUAUCAUGCUUUAACUAAGCAACGGAGAGUUCGCAAUAGAAUUGUUGGAUUACAUGAUGCUAAUGGGAAUUGGAUUACAGAGGAUAAUGGUGUGGAAAAGGUGACAGUGGACUAUUUCGAAGAUUUAUUUACUACCACCUCCCCAUCGGAAUUUGAUAGUUUCCUGAUAGAGAUUACACCGGGCAUCACUCCUCAGAUGAAUCAACGCUUGUUGAAGCUAGCGACGGAGGAGGAGGUUAAAGAGGCUUUGUUUAUGAUGCACCCAGAAAAGGCGAUUAACAAUAUUUAUAUGAUACUAAAAACGGAGAGACCUACAAGGAUGACGGAACUGAGGCCAAUCAGUCUCUGUAAUGUAGGAUAUAAAAUCAUUUCUAAGGUCUUGUAUCAGCGUUUGAAAAUAUGUCUUCCCUUACUCAUUUCCGAGACUCAAUCUGCAUUUAUGGCAGGAAUAUUGAUUUCUGAUAAUAUUCUUAUCGCCCAGGAAAUGUUUCGCGGAUUGCGGAUAUCGGGUUCUUAUAAAUGGUCAACCACGUGGCCUCAUUGUACCACAUAGGGGUUUACGUCAAGGAGAUCAUUUAUCGCCUUAUUUAUUUAUUCUCUGCACUGAGACUUUAAUUGCAAAUAUAAAAAAGACAGAGAGAGGACAACAAAUUAUGGGAAUGAAGGUAGCUCGAGCUUGCCCAUCGAUUUCUCAUUUGCUUUUUGCGGAUGAUAGUCUUUUCUUUUGUAGAGCUCAAAAAGAAGAGUGUCAAACAAUCCUUAGGAUUUUAAAGGAAUAUGAGGCAAUUUCAGGGCAGCUAAUAAAUUUUGAUAAGUCUUCCAUUCAAUUUGGAUAUAAGAUUGAAGUAGGAUUGAUGGUUUAGGGUUUAGGGUUGAGUUUUAGGGUUUAGAGUUUGAAUUUCGAAAUAGUAUAAUUUAUUUAAAUAUUUUUGUAAUAUGUAUUUUUUAUAUAUAUAAAGAAUAAGGGCAGAAGAGUCUUUUGCCACUUAACGAAGAAUGUAUUUUUGAAAAUGUAUUUUUUGUGGAGGUAAAAAUGAAAAUUGGUAGCAUGAAAGUGGUAAAUAUGUCAGUUUCCCAUUUAUUGGAAAAUUGCCAAAAAUACAUUUUUCAAAGUACCACCUUUCAUGUUUACACUAACCACUUUUACAUUCAUCUUUAAUGAAGGGUAAAAGACAUUUAUACUCUUUUGAUUAAGUUUGACAAAAAAAAACAUAUGGUUAACUAAUCUAAACUUAAAACAUCAACUCUAAACCCUAAACCAUGAAACAUCAACUCUAAACCCUAAACCCCGAAACAUCAACUCUAAACCCUAAACCCUAAACCAUCAAAUCUAAACCCUAAAACAUCAACUCUAAACCCUAAACGUAAACAUUGAACCCUGAACCCUAUAUUUUUCUGAAAUUCCAACCCUAAACCUUCAAAUUUAAACCCUAAAACAUCAACUCUAAACCCUAAAUGUAAACCCUAAACCUUCAAAUAUAAACCCUAAAACAUCAACUCUAAGGUUUUAGGGUUUAGGGUUUAGGGUUUAUGAUUUAGGGUUUAGGGUUUAGGGUUUAGAGAUGAAGGUUUAGGGUUUAGAGUUGAUGUUUUAGGGUUUAGGGUUUAGUGUUGAUAGUUUAGGGUUUAGAGGUGAAGUUUAGGGUUUAGGGUUUAGAGUUGAUGUGUUAGGGUUUAGAGUUGAAAGUUUAGGGUUUAGGGUUUAGAGUUGAUGUUUCGGGGUUUAGGGUUUAGAGUUGAUGUUUCAGGGUUUAGGGUUCGUAUUUAAAAAAAAAGGUUUGAGGAUUGAUGGUUUAGGGUUUAGGGUUUGAAUUUCGAAAUAGUAUAAUUAAUUUAAAUAUUUUUGUAAUAUGUAUUUUUUAUAUAUAUAAAGAAUAUGCGCAGAAGAGUCUUUUGCCACUUAAUGAAGAAUGUAUUUUUGAAAAUAUAUUUUUUGUGGUGGUAAAAAUGAAAAGUGGUAGCAUGAAAGUGGUAAACAAGUAAUUUCCCCUAAUUUAUUUCAUUUAUUAACCAAAAAAACUAUAUAAUAUUUUUGUAAACAAUUAUAUAUUUUUUACUUGAUAUAUUCAUAAAUUUAACUUAAUUUUCUGUAUAAAUAUUUAUAUAGUUACACUAAAUAAUUUUAUAUAAUAUUUAAAUAAAUAUAAAAACAUAUAUGGUUGGUUUUAUUUUUCUUAUUGAUAACAAUUAACAUAAAUUUUCCUAAUUAACAGUUAUGUACAAAAAGAAAAUUCAUCUUAUAAGAUUUUUAUAGAAAUCAGUAUUUAAAUGAAUUCAUGCGUUUUAUUAACUGAUUAUAUUUAAAAUUUUAAAUAGUUAUUUUAUUAUCCUUCAUAUUUUAGACAAUGAAAUUUCGUAUAUAAUUUCUUUUUUUUAUCAUACAUAUAUAUAUUAUAAGACAUUCAUGUAUUUUUAUCCUUUGUUUGUUUAACUGGUUUUUCAUAUUUCAGGUUAUUUAUAUCCACAAAAAUAAUUGCAAAAUAAAAGUACAUUUUCAAUUUGUUUCUUAAGUGAAUUAUAUAUUUUAAAUAUGUUUAAAAUAAGAUAUUUGGAGUUUAGAAAAGGAAACCUUAUAACAAACAUUAGAUAAAUUAUUGCAAAUAUGUUAUGCACAAACAAAAAUACUCUAUAUGAAUUUUUCAGUUUAAUUGUAUGUUGUAAUUGUAUUUAUUUUUACAUAAUGUUUAAAUUUUCAUCGUAUUUAAUAAAAUAAUAAUAUUAAUUGUUUAUAUAUAAGAAUUUGUAAUUUUAUUUUAAAUAUUUAAAUUAUAUAUUUAUUUAUUUUUACAUUCUUUUAAAUAUGAUAAUUUUGUAAAUUAGUUUAACUAGUUCGAUCUACAUUUGUUUUGCAAAUUUAUUUGCUCUGCAAAUUUAAAUGAUUUGUAUUUGUUCUAUUUGAUAUGCAUAAAUAUGUUUGAUCCACAUAUUUUUUUGAUCUGCGUCCCCAUUAAUCGUCGGUGGUGUUUCCUAUUGGUACAGUAACAAAAACGAGUCAUUGGUCCCUUGUUCUGAGUGUUUUUCUGAGAAAGAAUAGUUUAGUAUUAUCGAGACUAGUGGCCUAGAAAACAUUGUAUGGGUCAAAGAUCAAGAAAGUUUUGUUCAGAAAAGAAACAGUAUAAAGACAAAAGGUAGAAAACAUUGUAAGCCUUUUUGGUUAAAGAGAACACUAAUAUGUACCUGCUCAACGUGUGUAACGAGUGUUGUGUCCGAAACACUUGAAAAAGAAUAUCUGUUUUAUCUAUUUAAUAGAGUAAUCAAGUGCACUAUCAUCAUUCACAUAACAACUUCUCCUGAGAGACAAGAGAGAUGCCGAUUAGCCAGAGAGUUCUGAAGCAGGUUGCAGCCUUUCCGGUUGUUUUAGCCAUCGUUUGCUAUUUCUUCUGGCCAUCAAUCAUCGCGCCGGACCUCUUAAAGGGCACGAAGGACGUUCUCCAAGUGGCUAAGACCAUUCCUCUCCCUGGUGAUGGACCAGAGAGCUUAGAAUUUGAUUCACAAGGUGAAGGCCCUUACGUUGGCGUCACUGACGGUCGCAUCCUCAAAUGGCGCGGCGAAGAGCUAGGCUGGGUUGAGUUUGCCUACUCUUCUCCUCACAGGUUCAUUCCUAACAAAAAGUUGCCAACCUUCCUAUGUUUUCGUUGUUCCAUAACUAGUCGUCCAAUAUAUUUUCAUCAAUGUCCAACAAAUCAUUUAGUAAUUAAACGUUUUAUAGGGGAUUAAUUAGGGUAUAGGUGGGCGCCUAUACGCUGUCUAAACCGAUUUUGAAAAAUAGUUCUAGAAAUCUUUUCGCUUAAGACUAAUUUAUUUAUGACCGAUUUGUUAGAACAUUGAUUUUCAAUAACCUUGCUAGUGAAUCUGACCCGCUUUUUUGUUUUGGUGAGUGAAGAGAUAACUGUUCGAGGCAUAAAGUAGUUCCAAGUUGUGGGAGACCAUUGGGACUUAGCUUCCAUAAGAAAACAGGAGAUCUGUACUUUUGUGAUGGUUACUUUGGUGUCAUGAAGGUCGGACCAAAGGGAGGCUUCGCCGAGUUAGUUGUUGAUGAAGCCGAAGGUCGCAAAGUCAUGUUUGCGAACCAAAUGGAUAUAGACCAAGAAGAAGACGUCUUCUACUUCAAUGAUAGCAGCGAUAAAUACCACUUCGAGUAAUUAAAAUUACACAUUCGUUAAUUUAAAUUCACGGUCUUAAUAUUUUUUAUCUGGUUGGUAACAUUAGCAAAACGUGGAAAUGCCAAUAAAAAUAAAAUGAAUAAUAAAUAAACUAUAGAAUAGAUUAACAGAAUGUGACAUAGCUAAUAUAUCUAAAAUAUGAUCGUAUUUUUUUUUUGAUCAAACAAACAUAUAUACAUGUAACCAACUUGUGUAUGUGUUAUGUUUGUUUUGUUGGACAGGCAAGUGUUCUACGUGUAUAUGUCAGGGGAGAAGACAGGAAGAGUAAUUAAAUACGAUAUGAAGAAGAAAGAGGCCACAGUUAUAAUGGACAAACUUCAUUUACCUAAUGGUUUAGCUCUAAGCAAGGACGGAUCCUUUGUACUCACCUGCGAAAGUGGUACAAAUACAAUCCACAGAAUAUGGGUCAAAGGUCCCAAAGCCGGGACCAAUGAGGUUUUCGCAAAGAUCCCGGGUCCUAUGGACAAUAUCCGACGCACGCCUACGGGGCAUUUUUGGGUCGCACUGCAUUCCAAAGACAGUUUGUUUACUCGUGUGUUUCUUAGUCACUCUUUUGUUGGAAAGUUUUUCAUCAAAACGCUGAAGGUGGAGACUGCGAUUCAUCUCGUUAAUGGAGGGAAACCUCAUGGAAUUGUUGUGAAACUCUCUGGAGAGACAGGAGAGAUUCUGGAGAUACUUGAGGACAGUGAAGGGAAGACGAUGAAGUAUGUUAGUGAAGCAUAUGAGAGAGAAGAUGGCAAGUUAUGGAUUGGGUCUGUGUAUUGGCCGGCCGUUUGGGUUCUUGAUAAAUCUGUUUACGGUCUCAAAUGAGCUAGUAAUUUGGUGGUAUGAUCUUCUUUUUAACUUGUUAGAAGACAAGCAUCUUCUUUUGUAUUUUCUUGUUGUUGUGCGAGUGGACUUUGAUUCUGAAGUUUUGAGUUGAGUUGUUUAAUGGAGUUUUGUGGGAUUUUAUAAAUUUUGUCAGGUGGUUAAAAAGAAAAUUUUGUGGGAUUUUAUAAAUUUUGUCAGGUGAUAAACCAUCUACAAAUAUAUAUAUAUAUUUUUAAAAUAGUUUCUCAUAAUUUGGUAACAUUUAAAAAUUAGCACCAAAGAUAUACACGAAAUCAAAAUAUACCCAAAAAUCCGUGAUAAACUAUAAAUAUCAAACAUCACAAAAUAUAUCCAAAAACCAAAACUAGAUCGAAUACAUACAUAAUUUAAUUUAUUACUUAUUUUUGGUGUCACAAUAUAUUUUAAAAUCUCAUUUUUUUUUUUUUUUGUUUUCUUGGAAUUUCUCUUAUAUUUUAGGUUUUGAGUAUAUUUUAUGUAUUUAAUAUAUUUAAAUAUUCUCGUUAUUUGAAUAUAUUUUGAUAAUUUUUUAUUGUUUAUAUAAUCAUAUAUUUAAUUUAACCAUGGUCCAAGCGGCGAUGCGAAAGGCGAUCUAGUGUUCUAGGGUUUCGAUGAUUCAAAGGUAUUGGGAUCCUGGGAUUAGAGAGGAGGAGAGGUUAACGGGUCGAUUUGAAUCGGAGAUUCGAUUUGGAGAUGGGAUUCUCCAAGGUCGGAAGGCUGAAGAUGGAAACUCGAGAUUUUCUUUUGAUUUUGGAUGGGUUGGUUUGAUCGAGGUUACGAUGAAGAUGGAGAUUUGGAUUUGGCGAAAACUAAGGAUUACGAGGAUCGGGAUUUUGAUUUUAAUUUCGAUCAUCAUCAAGACGAAAUUGAAUCAAGAAGAAAACGUAUCUUUUCUCUUUCCUUUAGUUUGAUCAAUCAGAGAUGUGGAGAUACGAAGAUAUCCCGAAAAGUGUUUCAGAAGGAAAGUUAUAAUGUCCUGGUACGAGAAAUGUGGGAUUGUAGAAUGAGUUUGUGGUUAAUGGGAUUAUUACGGGAGAUUGAUUCUGUUAUCAUGAAUCAAAGAGAAAUUAAGGAAAAUUGUGGGAGCCCUAGGAUGAGGAUUUGGGAUCAGUAUAAAAGGAAGAAGGGGUUCUAUACUUGGAUCAUAUACCUUGUAACUUUCUCUCUUGCUAUUGACAAAGAUCAAAGCUUUAUUCUUUUUCUUUUGGCUAUGACACAGAGUCAACUUUUGAGCAAUGUGGGGGAGGUGAAGAACGGAGAAGGAACUCGCAGAAGAUUUCAGUGCCCCAUUUCGAUAAUUCAGCUCUCAUCAAGACUUUUUCCAAAACUCUUAUUGGAAGAUGUAUGAAUCCGGAGGAGCAGGAGAUGAAGGCUCUGAUCUCGAAUCUCCCGAAGAUAUGGAAAUUUGAGGAGAGGGUUGUUGGCUCGGAUUUGGGUUUUGAGAAGUUCCAGUUUGACUUCGAAAAGGAGGAGGACAUGGAGGGGGUUCUUAAGCUUCAACCUAUUCAUUUUGAUUACUGGAUGUUGUCCUUGGCGCGGUGGCAACCUAACAAGUCCUUGCUCUACCCGUCGGAGAUAACAUUUUGGGUUAGAGUCAUAGGAGUCCCGUGGGAGUUCAAAACGGAACCCACUUUUGAGAGCAUUGGUGACGCCAUAGGAAGGACAGUGGCUGUAGAUUUGGAUCACUCUCGCGUGCAAGUGGUGGUUGAUGCUUUUAAUGAGCUGUGUUUUGAAACCACGGUAGACUUCACUGGUGGGGAGUUUUAUGAUGGAGAGGAAGCUCCGGUAUCGCUGCUGUAUGAGAAGCUGUUUGGAUAUUGUCAAGUGUGUGGUAGUCUGUGCCAUAAAGAUGAAGUCUGUCCCUUAGAUGUGAAGAACAUCAAGAAGAGCCCAGAAAAGAAACGAGAAGGAAGAGAAGGUAAUGGUGCUUGGUACGAUGGAGGGAAGUAUGAUGAUCGCGCAAGGAGUUAUAAAGGUGUAGUCAUUAAUGGAAACGCGAAUCAACAGAAUAAAGAAAGAGAAGGCCGGGAGUAUUAUGGCAAAAGUAAGGGCAAGAUGGGGGAGGAAACAUAUUCUAAAUGGAUGAAGGUGUCAGAGAGAGGAAGUAAGAGAGCCUACACUAACCGUGGAACUUAUAGAGGAGAUGGGGAAGCUUCUCGGCACAGACCUGCGAGGAGAGAGGACUCAAGGCCUGGCGCUAAGAGUGGACAAAUUCGACCCUCUUCAGGACAGACUAGGGAGCAACAGCCUCAACAAGAUGCUCGUGAGGAAGUUCGAGAGGAGGUUGAGAUCAGGUCCGCUGAGGAGUCUCGCGCAAUGCCACCUUCUCAAGCGUUUCAAGUGGAACUGGCCAAAUCUCAGGCUGAGGGAACGACAGUCAUCUCGGAUCCUAUUGAUGUGGACCAAGGGUUGGCAGCGGUACAUGGUAUGCAGGAGGAUCAUGUGGACUUAGAAGAUGAGGAUGUAAUGGACAUGGAUGAGAUUAAGGCUCAUCUACUUGAGAAUGAUAUAGAUAUGGAUGCAAAGGAUUUUUUAGAGAAGCUAGAAGAGGAGGAAACUAAGGAAGUGGGCAAGAAACAGAAAGAGGAGAACAAUGCUCAAGAGACAGACGAGGUGGUGUUUGUGGAAGAAGAGCAAGGCACGCUUGGUGGAGAUGCGGUGAAGAAACCAGGAUUACGUAAGAGUCUAUUCAAGCCGUCGACCGGUACUGCGGGAAGUACUAAAAUGAGAGCGUUCAAUGCGCUUGCGUCACCACGUAAGCGAGCUGCAGAGAGGCCAGGAACACGACACGGAGAUACCACCAAUCAAGCAGAGAGUAAGGGUGCUUCAAACCCGAAACUUGGAAAUCAGAGGAUCUGAUUUAUGGUUAGAGUCUUUUCUCAAGGUUUUUCAAGCAGGCAGGGCCUGUCUUAUGAUUUAGGUUGUUUUCUGGUUUUAAUAAGCUCUAUGAGCACUUGCAUUUUUUCUGUUUCUAAGAGUUGUAAGCGUCUGGUCUUACUGCGGUUUUAUGGUGGCUGUUAAGGGAUUUCUUUGAGGAAAAGCAAUGGAAUAAUAAAACAGUCUUGUGUUAUUGGUUUUGUCGUCUAACUAUGGUAAUGAAUUCUUGUAAUCGUUUUGGUUAUAUAGAUGGAUAUAGGAUUAGAAUGUGGGAUGAUGGUCUCGUUGGUUUGGAAAGGAAUCAGAGACAUAAUAGUCUUGUGGCGGGAAGGCGUCUGGUGAGUUUGUCAGAUUGUAGGAGGCGUCUGGUGAGUUUGUUAGGUUUCCAGUGGUGGCACAUGAAGUUAGGAGUUUUGGGUUUUAUCAUUUUUGCAUUGGGGACCACAGACUGUUUUAUAGUUUUGGUAUGUUACUUAUUUGGCAGAGUGAGAUCUCUUUUGUUAAUAGAUGUUCAAUGUUUGGAGAGGUUCUGGUUUAUUGGAUAUGGUGUUGCAGGUUUCUCUUUUAAGAAUAGCUUGAGGGGUUUGGAUUAUCUUAUUGUCUCUGAUACGGUGCGCGAACGUGUUGUGUCCUUGGUAUCAUCAAACCAGGAUCAGUUACUGAUUGGAUGGAGGGGAUUAUAUUAUGAUGCAUAUGCAAUGCGAGCUGAGGUUUUUUUCUCAAACCAAGAAGACAGUGGGUGUUGGUUUUUUAGUGAAACAAACUGGUUUCAAGUGGGAGUGGGUGGUUUUGCGUAUAAAAUGUGUGGCUUUGGUGGGUUACAAGACUGUAGUUUUUUUCUCGUUUAUGGAAUCGAUUUUGUAUUAUUAUGGAGGCUAAGUGAUAGAAAUUGGACAGUAUUAGUGGUAUCAUUUUCGAUUAUUAUGGGAUGGUUCAGAUCACAAAGAAAGGAAAAUAGUUGGAUUGUGGAAAUAGGGUAUCAUUACACCCAUAGACACUCGGCUCUCAGAGCAAAUAAAGAAUAAAUUUUUUAAAUGCGGGUUUUGAGUUGGAAUUGCCGAGGGAUGUGAAGUAAGUGAACUCUAAGCUAUUUGAGCGAGAUAAGGUAUAAACAUAAACCGGAUUUAUUGUUUUUAUCAGAGACAAAACAAGAUUCAGAGUUUGUCCAAAAAUGGCAAGCUCACUUUGGAUUCGAUAACCUAGUCACUAUAGACCCAGUGGGGAGAAGUGGCGGAUUAGCGCUUUUCUAUAAUAAUAAGUAUCAGGUAAAGGUAUUAUAUUCUAGUAACCGAAUGAUUGAUGUGGAAGCGGAAGUCCUGGGCAAAACGGUCUAUCUUACAUUUGUAUAUGGGGACCCAGUUCAAAAAAUGCGGGAACAAGUAUGGGAACAGUUAACUUGAUAUGGACUGGCGAGAUCCGACCCCUGGUUUAUUAUUAGGGAUCUCAACGAGAUUACUGGAAAUCAUGAAAAAGAUGGUGGGGCUAUAAGGAGUGCAGAUUCUUUUAUUCCUUUCAAUAAUAUGAUAAGAAAUAGUGGUCUGGUAGAAUUUCCGGCUAGGAGAAAUAAAAUGUCAUGGCAAAGGAGAAGAGGAAAAGGGAAAGGGGCAGUGAUGGUUCGAUGCCGUUUGGACCGUGCGCUAACAAAUGAAGAAUGACAUACCCUAUUUACAUGUUCCUUUACAGAGUAUUUUGGGAUGGUGGCUUCUGAUCAUCGUCCAGUGGUAGCUUAUAUGGAAGAAAAAGGUCCCAGACGGAAAUGACAAUUUCGGUUUGAUAAGAGGUGGAUUGGGCUAGAGGGUCUCCUAGAAUCAAUUACAAUGGGUUUGAUAGAUUCUAAUGAAGAAAUAGUAGGGGGGGGGGGGGGGGGCAGAGAGCAUAGUGGCAAAAAUUAGUAACUGUCGUCAUGAAAUUGCAAAAUGGCGGAAAAAUAAUUCACCUUAUGGAAAAAAAAAAUAAAUGAGUUACAACAAGCACUUGAAGAGGUGCAAACAAAUAAUACUAGGUCUCAAGAGGAUAUUCUGGAGGUGUCUAGGAAAUUACAAGACGCAUAUAAGGAUGAAGAAGAUUACUGGCAUCAAAAAAGUAGGAACAUGUGGUAUUCAUCUGGGGAUCUGAAUACAAAAUUUUAUCAUGCUUUAACUAAGCAACGGAGAGUUCGCAAUAGAAUUGUUGGAUUACAUGAUGCUAAUGGGAAUUGGAUUACAGAGGAUAAUGGUGUGGAAAAGGUGACAGUGGACUAUUUCGAAGAUUUAUUUACUACCACCUCCCCAUCGGAAUUUGAUAGUUUCCUGAUAGAGAUUACACCGGGCAUCACUCCUCAGAUGAAUCAACGCUUGUUGAAGCUAGCGACGGAGGAGGAGGUUAAAGAGGCUUUGUUUAUGAUGCACCCAGAAAAGGCGAUUAACAAUAUUUAUAUGAUACUAAAAACGGAGAGACCUACAAGGAUGACGGAACUGAGGCCAAUCAGUCUCUGUAAUGUAGGAUAUAAAAUCAUUUCUAAGGUCUUGUAUCAGCGUUUGAAAAUAUGUCUUCCCUUACUCAUUUCCGAGACUCAAUCUGCAUUUAUGGCAGGAAUAUUGAUUUCUGAUAAUAUUCUUAUCGCCCAGGAAAUGUUUCGCGGAUUGCGGAUAUCGGGUUCUUAUAAAUGGUCAACCACGUGGCCUCAUUGUACCACAUAGGGGUUUACGUCAAGGAGAUCAUUUAUCGCCUUAUUUAUUUAUUCUCUGCACUGAGACUUUAAUUGCAAAUAUAAAAAAGACAGAGAGAGGACAACAAAUUAUGAUUCUUUUAUUCCUUUCAAUAAUAUGAUAAGAAAUAGUGGUCUGGUAGAAUUUCCGGCUAGGAGAAAUAAAAUGUCAUGGCAAAGGAGAAGAGGAAAAGGGAAAGGGGCAGUGAUGGUUCGAUGCCGUUUGGACCGUGCGCUAACAAAUGAAGAAUGACAUACCCUAUUUACAUGUUCCUUUACAGAGUAUUUUGGGAUGGUGGCUUCUGAUCAUCGUCCAGUGGUAGCUUAUAUGGAAGAAAAAGGUCCCAGACGGAAAUGACAAUUUCGGUUUGAUAAGAGGUGGAUUGGGCUAGAGGGUCUCCUAGAAGCUCAAAAAGAAGAGUGUCAAACAAUCCUUAGGAUUUUAAAGGAAUAUGAGGCAAUUUCAGGGCAGCUAAUAAAUUUUGAUAAGUCUUUCAUUCAAUUUGGAUAUAAGAUUGAAGAAUCCGUCAGACAGGAUUUAAAGGAUAUUUUGGGUAUUCAGAAUCUUGGAGGAAUGGGAUCAUACUUUGGUCUACCAGAAAAUCUGGGGGGAUCAAAGAUCCAGGUUUUUAGCUUUGUACAAGAUCGUUUAAAUAAUAGAGUCAAUGGGUGGACUUUCAAGUUUUUAACAAAAGGGGGAAAGGAAGUGAUUAUUAAGUCAGUGGUUACGGCAUUACCAAAUCAUAUGAUGUCCUGUUAUCGCUUGCCUAAAGCAACGGUGAAAAAACUGACAAGUGCGGUAUCACAAUUUUGGUGGAGUCCAGGGGGAAGUACAAGAGGCAUGCACUGGAAAUCAUGGGAUAAGUUAUGUGUAGACAAGGAGUAAGGAGGUUUAGGGUUUAAAGAUAUCACUGAUUUCAACACAGCGAUGCUUGGUAAACAGUUAUGGCGUCUGAUAGAGAAGCCAAACACUUUAUUUUCUCGAGUUUUCAAAGGUCGGUAUUAUAGGAAUGCUUCACCCUUGGAACUGAUUCGUUCAUAUUCUCCGUCAUACGGCUGGCAGAGUAUUGUUUCUGUUAGAUCUCUGGUUAGCAAAGGACUAAUCAAAAGGGUGGGAUCAGGGUCUUCUAUAUCUGUAUGGAAUGACCUCUGGCUCCCAACCAAUCGCCCGAGACCAGCUAAUAAAAAUCAACACAAUUUAUACCUCAACCUUACAGUAGAGUCCCUCAUUGACUCUACCUCGCGAACUUGGAAUUCAGAGGUAAUUCGGACUUUGGUGGAUCCUCAGGAUGCGAAACUAAUAUAAAGUAUUCCACUAAGCGGGAUUCAUCAGGUGGAUAGAGAUGGAUGACAAUUUACGAAAAAUGGUAAAUAUACAGUCAAAUCAGGAUAUCAAGUAGAACGGAUUUAUCCAGAUAGAGAAAGACCACCACUACUGAUUGGGCCAACAGUUGAUGUCUUGAAGGCUUACUGCUGGAAAAUACGGUGCCCACCAACGCUAAAACAUUUCCUAUGGCAAUUAGUGACAUGGUGUAUAGCGGUACGGAAGAAUUUACAAGCAAGGGGGAUUCAAGGGAAUAUUUGUUGUGUAAGAUGUGGAGCUCCUGAGGAAUCAAUAAACCAUGUGUUUUUUGAAUGUCCUCCAGCUCUUCAGGUUUGAGCUCUUUCGAAGAUACCAUCAAAUCAAGCUAUUUUUCCAACGAGUUCCCUCUUCACAAACAUAGAUCAUCUUUUCUGGAGAGUUUUCCCGCAGAUGGAGGAUCACCAGUUUGCAUGGAUACUAUGGUACAUCUGGAAAGGUAGGAAUAAUAAAGUUUUUAGUAAUUUGGAUAUGGACCCUAUGGAUACGCUAAAAUUGGCUGAAACAGAAUCCACAUUGUGGGCUGAGGCACAAGUAGGGAAUUACCAGAGGACACCACCACCAAUAAUAGAUACGGUACUGUCGUCGAUCCCAAGAAGAUAGUGUUUCACAGAUGGCUCGUGGAAAGAGGGCGUUUAUUUUUCAGGACAAGGUUGGCUCAGUACUUUGGAAGGUAUUGAUGGAUUGUUGGGGGCGAAAAAUGUUAGGGCUAGUCUCUCGCCUCUUCAUGUAGAGAUGGAAGCGCUAUUAUGGGCAAUGGAAUGCAUGAAGAAUUUAUGUCAAUUUCAAGUUACGUUUGCAACGGAUUGUUCUCAAUUGGUGAAGAUGGUUUCAGAACCAGAGGAAUGACCAGCUUUUGCAAAUUAUUUGGAAGAUAUCAAGAUCCUGAAAGAGAGUUUCACCCGAUCAGAGAUUAUCUAUGUACCACGGACGCAUAAUUAAAAGACGGAUAGUCUAGCACGCAGUGGUAGAAAGCAAUCGUCUUUCAUCGUUCACAUAGAUGCAGAUCACGCAGUUUGGUUUACAGAAUCAGUAUGAAUCUAUAUUGUUGAUGACAAAAAAAAGAAUAUAUUUUGGUUUUAAUAAUUUAUAUAUUUCUCGGGGUUUUAAGUAUAUUUUUGAGGUUUUGGGUAUUUAAAGUUUUUCUUUUUCUUUUGGUUAUUAUUUUAGGUUUUUGGGUAUUUAUAUAUUUUUGGUUGUAUUUUGUUUCUUUUUUUUAUAUUUAUAGAUAUUUGACCGACAUCAUUUUGGUCAGGGUUGAUUUUUGUUUGAAUUUGAUAGUUCAUGUAGUUUAUUUGAAACAAAUAUUAACCUGGGAUGAAAUAAGCACGGUAACAAAAUUCAGGUAGAAAGUGGCGCGACGGAAAUUGUUGAGGUUAGAAUUGAUUCUUCUCCCCGUUUCCACCAGGCCCGAGUUGGUAUAUUUGAUUUGACUUUACUUGAUUUAAUUAAUAUAUUGGUUAAACAAAAUUCUAAUUAUUAAUCUGUUUAACGUUUUUUCAUAUAAUGAUUUACGAUGAUUUAUGAUGUACGUCUAGUUAGGGUUCUAGGUUAAUUUUUCCUUUUUGCUUGCAUCCUAUAAUUAAGCACUACACUACUUGAACUGGUUGCUGAUCUGAAGUUUAGUUUGAUUAACCUUCUAAAUGUGAGUUAGUACUAGAGUUUAAAAUUUAACUUAAGCUCCUGCCACUUUUUAAAUUUAGUGCACCACCAAAAGUUAGUAAAAAAAAAAGUUCUGCUAAAUGCUAAAGCCUAUCGCAUAUUAUUUUUUUCAAAAUAUAUAAUCAGUGAAAGAAAACAAUACAUUCAAAAGAAUUAGUUAUUAAUUUUAGUGCUUGGUGCUAGGCCUGAAACUUUUAUCCGAGAUCCGGAUUCGAUCCGAGGUCCGAUCUGAAUUCAAUCCGAAAAUCCGGAUAUCCGGAGGGGCCGAAUCCGGAUCCGGAUAGUAAAAUAUUGGAUCCAUCAAAGCCGGAUUCGGAUCCGGACAUCUUGAUUUUUAGUCUGGAUAUCUGUAUCUGGAUAUUACAAUUUUUAGAAGGAUAUCCGACGCCCGGAUAUCCGAAAACCUCGGAUCCGGAUAAGGAUAAUAAAAUUAUGGAACCGCCGGAUAAGGAUCCGUAUACCUUAAAAUUGUCAGGAUACCCGAUCCGUCACAGGCCUACUUGGUGCAACAUAAUCAGUGGUUGGUCUGAUGGUCGAACUAUCUCUGGUGAUUUUUUCGGCAACUUUUCCGUUGGUUUGUUGUGUCUCUAACUUUUUUUUAUGCAUGUGCAUACUUGAACUGAUUUUGUCUGUUUUCCUUAUGUGCUCUUCUGAUUACAUCUCAAAAGUGGUCGUAAAGAUCAAUGUUAAAGGGGUCAAUUAAAUGUUCAGCAUAUGAAUGGUGAUUGGUAUCUAGUGUUUGUAGGCUUCUUGUUUCCGCAUCCAACUACAUACCAAUUAUCCUUCUUCACAAGAAAAGUUAUACUUGUUGACUUGAUCCGAGGCCUAUAUUGCAUACCUAUUUCGAAGGAAUUGUUAAUCUUUUUAUUUAAAAUGUUGUUUUCAGUAUUUUCUCGGUAGGGAAGUCGUGAACACAAAAGCCAACAUUUGUGAUCUUUACUUCUUUGCUUAAAAUAUGCAUCGCCUGAAAAAAGGAAUACUGUUAGCUGAGAUAUCAUUUGCGAAAAGAUUAUGGUGGUGACUUGAAGUAAUUAUGCCCGUUAAACAUAUUUGUCUCCGGAUAAAAGAUGACGGUCAAAUCUUUGUAUAUUGAAAAAUAUUUUUAUUUUUGGACUGAUGUAGCUAUUAUCUUUUUCUAAAAGAUGUACGUUUAAUUGAUUUUAUAAAUACUAAAAAUAGAUUAAAUUUUAAUACUAAAUAUCUUAUUUUACGUAAUUAUUAUUUUUAACUAAUAGUGCUAAUAAGUAUAAUUAAUAUUUUUAAGUUUGUAACUUAUCAUAAUUAACUAAUAAAAAUAUAUAAAAGCAUAAAACAUAAUUUUAAAGAGCAAUUUAAAAAAAAUAUUUCUAGUACAGAGGGAUUAAUAUAUAUAUAUCAAAAACCAAACAAAUUGUAAUUAACAAUGAAAAUGGCCAUUCGUCUAGUUGUAAACCUGUAGUGAGUGGAGAAAGAUUUUUUUCUUACUUUAAUGUGAUUCGUGUCUGUAAAAGAUGUCCAAGGAUUCGGUGAUGUGAUCAUGUGGAACGAGGGGGCACCAGCCCUUUCCCAGCUUUAAUUAUUUUGCAUGAUUAGUUCUCAAAAUAAUAUAGUAGCUAUAAGAUUACAGUAGUCUGACUAAUCAUACGUGUAGGUUGUCAGAGAAAAAGAGUCUAAUCAUACGUGUAGGUUGUCAAAAAGAUAUUUUACGUUGUCUUCUCUUGGGUUUGCAUCAUUUUGCAUUUGAAAUUUUAUAUGAGAGAGGAUUUGUGUAAGCACAUUAUUAUUAUUUUGUCAGCAUAUUAUAUUAUAAGUAUUUUUUCUAUUUUGAAUAACUAUAUUCUAAAUUUUCCUUAAGUUUAUAUAAAGCUCGAUUGUCAAGUGUUGUAAAACUGUAUACAGAAUUUCUGUUUUUUUCUUUUUAUAAAAUGACAAAUCUAUUCUAUUAAAAAUGAGUCAUUAUAUAACCAUGUAAUUAGUUACUAAGAGACAAGAGAGGAUGGUGAUUAGCCAGAGAGUUUUGAAACAGGUUGCAGCAGUUCCGGUUGUCUUAUCCAUCAUUUGUUAUUUUUUCUGGCCAUCAAUCAUUGUGUUGGACCACCUAAAGGGCACGAAAGACGUUCUCCAAGUGACUAAGACAAUUCCUCUCCGUGGCGGUGGACCAGAGAGUUUAGAGUUUAGUUAUAGUUUGAUUUACAAGGUGAAUUGAAGACCCUUAUCUAGGAGUCACAGACGGUCACAUCCUUAAAUGGCGAGGCGAAGAGCUAGGCUGGGUUGAGUUCGCGUACACUUCUCCUCACAUGUUCAAUCCUAACAAAAAAAAAGUGCCAACCUUCCUAUGUUAUCAUUAUUCCAUGUUUACUGGUCCAAUGAUUUUUUCAUUAAUGUUCAACAAAUCACUAUGUGUUAAUUAAGCGUUUAUAGUGGAUUAAUGUCUAAAUAAACACCUAAACCUUAUCUAAACCGAUUUUAAAAAAUCGUUUAAGAAUCAUUUUGUUUAUGAACGAUCUUUUUAAAAUUGAUUUAUUAGAACAUUGAUUUUCAUUAACCUUCCUACUGAAUCUGACCCAUUUUCUUUUUGGUCAGUAAAUAGAUAAUUGUUCUAGGCAUAAAGUAGUUCCAAGUUGGGGGAGACCAUUGGGACUUAGCUUCCAUAAGAAAACCUGAGAUUUCUACUUUUGUGAUGGUUACUUUUGUAAGUAAAAAAAACACGUUUUACGUGUUGGUCAGCAUGGACGGUGACGGCAUGGACGGUGAGCUGAAAUUGUUGACGUUGGUUUUGUCAAAGAUUGUGAGCUCACCAAACACCUUCUUCAUGUUUAUAAAAGGAGAGCUAAGGAGAAGAAGAAAUGUAUCCCAAAAACAAGAAAACAGAGAGAGAACGAGAGAAGAGACGAGAAGAGAAGAAGAAAAAAAAAAGUUUUUUUUCUCACAAAAAAAUCUUCUUUAAGAAAUUACGAGUAAUUUCUGAGUGUAUUUGGGAUCGGGGUGUGAGUUGUGAGCUUGUAAAAUUUCUCUGGUUGAUAAUAAAAGAUCUGUAGCAGGUCCGGAGACGUAGGCAACAUUGGCCGAACUCCGUUAACAAUUUUGUGUGUGUGCUUCUUUCCCGCUCCUAUAAAUUCUGGUUUACCGCAAAAUUUGACCGCAUAUUUCCUAACAACUGGUAUCAGAGCUUGAGUUACGGUGAUCGGUCAAAUUUUUUGCGGAGUUACUAUUCACGGUAACAUCGGUUUGUCGACGAAGGUGUUCUAAUACACGGUGGUUCCAGAAACGAUGGGAGGCGAAGACGGUUUGGCGCACAGUAUCGGGAAAUUUGACGGUACAGAUUAUGCAUUUUGGAGAAUGCAAAUUGAAGAUUAUCUGUACGGAAAGAAGCUUCAUCAACCGCUGAGCAAGAAGCCUGAGAAGAUGGAUCAGGAUGAGUGGGAGCUCCUUGACAGACAAGUUCUGGGUGUUAUAAGGUUAACACUGUCGAAAAACGUUGCUCACAACGUUGCGAAGGAGAAGACCACGGAAGGGCUCAUGAAAGUUCUCUCUGAUAUGUAUGAGAAACCUUCGGCAAACAAUAAGGUAUUUCUCAUGAAGAAACUCUUUCAUUUGAAGAUGGAAGAAGGUGGCCUGGUUGCCGCACAUGUGAACGAGUUCAACACGAUUGUCAACCAACUGUCAUCGGUUGAAAUCGAGUUUGAAGAUGAAGUGCGAGCACUGAUUUUGUUGGCAUCUCUGCCAAAUAGUUGGGAGCCAAUGAGGGCAGCGGUUAGUAAUUCUGUGGGUACUCAAAAGCUCAAAUUCAAUGAUGUUAGAGAUCGUAUCCUUGGUGAGGAAGUUCGAAGGAUAGACUCUGGGGAGGCAUCAACGAGCUCUGCUUUCAACGUGGAAAACAGAGGGAGAAACCCAGAUAGAAAUAACCGGAGUAAUGGCAGAUCGAAGUCAAGGAAUGGACGGGGUCAGUCCAAAUUCAGACAGCCUGCAGAGUGCUGGAAUUGUGGAAAGACAGGUCACAUUAAGAAGAAUUGCCGAGCACCACCGAAGAAGGAAGACAACACUAGAGGCGGAGCCAAUGUAGUGACACGUGAAAUCGCUGAUGCAUUGGUAGUGUCUGUUGAUUCCCCGAGGAAAAUUGAAGCUCGUGAUGCAACUGCAAAUACCACCAAAGCGUCAAUCUCCUAUGUCGAUAGCCCAGUUGAUUCAUGGGUGCUUGACUCAGGAGCGUCGUUCCACACCACACCGCACCAUAACAUCAUGGAAAAUUAUGUUGCGGGAAAUUACGGAAAGGUAUAUCUUGCUGAUGGAUUACCUUUGGACAUAGUUGGUAUUGGAGAUAUCAACCUGAAAAUGUCAGACGGACGUGUGUGGAAGAUUACCAAGGUCAGACAUGUGCCAAAGUUGAUGCGAAAUCUGAUUUCAGUAGGUCAACUUGAUGAUAUGGGGCACGAUGUUAAUUUUGGUGGUGGAGCCUGGAGAGUCAAGAAAGGUUCCAUGGUGGUGGCUAGAGGUCAUAAAAGAGGCACUCUUUAUAUGACGACGAGUUAUCAAGACACUGUUGCUGUUGUCGAGAAUGCCAAACAUACCAAGUUGUGGCAUUGUAGGUUGGGGCACAUGAGUGAGAAAGGGAUGAAACUCAUGGUGGAAAAUGGUGCUCUUCCGGAUCUGAAGACGGUGGAUCAUCAGAUGUGUGAAAGUUGCAUCCUUGGGAAACAGAAACGAGUUAGUUUCUCUAAAGGAGGAAGAGAGCCAAAAUCUGAGAAGUUAGAGCUGGUGCACACUGACGUGUGGGGACCCGCUCCUGUUGCAUCGCUGGGAGGUUCGUACUACUAUGUGACCUUUAUUGAUGACUCCACAAGAAAAGUGUGGGUUUACUUCAUGAAGAACAAGCAUGAAGUGUUUUCGGUUUUCAAAAUAUGGAAAGCCAUGGUUGAGAUUGAGACGAAUCUCAAGUUGAAGUGUUUAAGGUCUGAUAAUGGUGGAGAGUACAUCAGCGGCGAGUUCAAGAGAUAUUGCGCUGAUAAUGGGAUCAAGAUGGAAAAGACUAUUCCUGGAACGCCUCAACAGAAUGGAAUAGCGGAAAGGAUGAACCGAACCUUGAAUGAGCGUGCAAGGAGCAUGAGAUUGCACUGUGGAUUGCCAAAGACGUUUUGGGCAGAUGCAAUCAAUACCGCAGCCUUCUUAAUAAACAGAGGACCGUCUGUACCGUUGGGAUUUAAGAUCCCUGAAGAAGUUUGGAGCGGAAAGAAAGUAAAUCUUUCUUAUCUAAAGGUGUUCGGAUGCUUAGCUUAUGUUCAUAUUGAUGAUGCUGCAAGAAGUAAACUUGACUCGAAGUCUAAGAAGUGUUACUUCAUCGGUUAUGGUAACGCGGAGUUUGGUUACCGGUUUUGGGAUGAUGAAAAUCGGAAGAUCAUCCGCAGCAAGAAUGUUGUGUUCAACGAAGAAGCGUUGUACAAGGAUAAGCUAAGAGAAGGCUCGGAGAAGAAAGAGCCUGGAGCUGUUGACUUAGAAGAUAUCCUGACACCGGAGUUGCCACAGGAUACCGCAACAGCAGAAGAAGAAAUCUCUCAAGACGAGAGUGGUGAGGCUGAAGAAAGUGAUGAUUCUGAAGUGGUCCCAUAUACACCAGUCACGGAGUUACGACGGUCAAGCAGAAUCAUCAGAAAGCCAGUAAGAUUCUCUCCAUCGCUCAACUACAUUCUGCUCACAGACAGAGGCGAGCCUGAAUGUUAUGAGGAAGCUAUGCAAGUUGAUGAGUCGAUCAAGUGGGAGCUUGCAAUGAACGACGAGAUGGACUCGUUGUUAUCCAAUCACACGUGGGAGUUAGCAGAUUUGCCUAAGGAGAAAAAGGCAUUGCAUAACAAGUGGGUCUACCGAAUAAAAGAAGAACCUGAUGGGAGUAAGCGCUAUAAAGCGAGGCUUGUUGUGAAGGGAUUCCAACAAAAAGAAGGCGUUGACUACACUGAAAUCUUCUCUCCUGUAGUCAAGAUGGUGACCAUCAGAACGGUUCUUGGGCUGGUAGCACAAGAAGAUCUGCAUCUUCAACAGAUGGAUGUGAAGACGGCAUUUCUUCACGGUGAUUUGGAUGAGGAAAUUUAUAUGAAGCAACCCGAAGGCUUUGAGAUCAAAGGGAAGGAAAGCCUUGUUUGCAAGCUGAAAAGGAGUUUGUACGGCUUAAAACAAGCUCCAAGACAGUGGUAUAAACGGUUCGACAACUUUAUUAAAGGCGUUGGUUUCUUGAGGUGUGAAGCUGACCACUGUUGUUACUUCAAGACGCUUGAAGAGUCCUACUUGAUAUUGCUCCUAUAUGUCGAUGACAUGCUGAUAGUAGGAGCAGACUUGCACGAGAUCAAUAGCUUGAAGACGAAACUCUCAGAAGAGUUUGCGAUGAAAGACCUUGGAGAAGCAAGACAGAUUCUAGGGAUGAGAAUCAGUAGGAGCAAGGAAGGUCUUAAGCUAUCACAAGAGGAGUAUGUGAAGAAAGUCCUCAAGAGGUUUAACAUGGAUGACGCGAAGCCAGUUAGUACUCCCCUGGCAAGUCACUUUCGGUUAUCCAGAGAACAGUCUCCAAAGACGGAAGACGAGAUGGCAUGUAUGGAUAAAGUUCCAUAUGCUUCUGCUAUAGGAAGCCUGAUGUACGCGAUGAUAUGUACAAGGCCAGACAUUGCACAUGCAGUGGGAGUCGUUAGCAGAUUUAUGAGCAAUCCAGGGAAGGAACAUUGGGAAGCCGUUAAGUGGAUUUUCAGAUAUCUAAAAGGAAAUCCAAGUUUAUCGCUAUGUUUCACGAAGUCUAAGACGGGAUUGCAGGGAUAUGUUGAUGCUGACAAUGGAGGUGACAUUGACAGCACGAAGAGCACAACCGGGUAUGUCUACACCUUUGGCGGUACUGCAAUUUGUUGGGUUUCAAAGUUGCAGAAAAUUGUAUCUCUAUCAAGCUGUGAAGCUGAGUAUGUUGCUGUAACGGAGGCAACAAAAGAGAUGAUAUGGCUACAGUCUUUUCUAGAAGAGCUAGGCCAUGACCAAGGGAAAGGUGUGUUGUACUGUGACAGUAAAAGUGCCAUCGAUUUGGCAAAGAAUCCGGUUUACCAUGCUCGGACGAAGCACAUACAUCGUCGGUAUCAUUUCAUCAGAUCAGCGUUGGAAGAUGAAAUGUUGGUGCUUGAGAAGAUCCCAGGAAGCAAGAAUCCGGCAGACAUGUUGACGAAGGUCGUGCCGUAUGAUAAGCUGAGGUUGUGUGCAACCUCAGUUGGCUUGUUGGAGUAACAAGCUGGGGAGACCUGCUACAUCGAUCAAUGUGUGAAGACAGAUUGAAAUCAGUCUUCAAGUGGGAGAUUGUAAGAAAAAAAAACACGUUUUACGUGUUGGUCGGCAUGGACGGUGACGGCAUGGACGGUGAGCUGAAAUUGUUGACGUUGGUCUUGUCAAAGAUUGUGAGCUCACCAAACACCUUCUUCAUGCUUAUAAAAGGAGAGCUAAGGAGAAGAAGAAAUGUAUCCCAAAAACAAGAAAACAGAGAGAGAACGAGAGAAGAGAAGAGAAGAGAAGAAGAAAAAAAAAAGUUUUUUUUUCUCACAAAAAAAUAUUCUUUAAGAAAUUACGAGUAAUUUCUGAGUGUAUUUGGGAUCGGGGUGUGAGUUGUGAGCCUGUAAAAUUUCCCUGGUUGAUAAUAAAAGAUCUGUAGCAGGUCCGGAGACGUAGGCAAUAUUGGCCGAACUCCGUUAACAAUUUUGUUUGUGUGCUUCUUUCCCGCUCCCAUAAAUUCUGGUUUACCGCAAAAUUUGACAGCAUAUUUCCUAACAACUUUGGGGUCAUGACUCAUGAAGGUUGGACCAGUAGGAGGCUUGGCCGAGUUAGUUGUUGAUGAAGCCGAUGGUCCCAAGGUCAUGUUUGCGUACCAAAUGGAUAUAGAUCAAGAAGACGUCUUCUAUUUUAGUGAUAGCAGCGAUAAAAAUCACUUCGAGUAAUUAAAACUACACCUUCGUUUAUUUACAUUUACAGUCCUAGUAUUUUCUCUGGUUGGUAACAUUAGCAGAACGUGAAAAACGGAUAAAUAAAUAAAAUCAAUAAUAAUAAUUUGUAAAAUAUAUUAGUAGCAUUGGGGAACCAUAAUGUGAUGUAGCUAAUAGAUCUAAACGUGAUUUUGAACAUAUAGACUUACUGGUUGAAUCCAGAAUAUUUAUUUACUGGGUGAAGUGUCGAUUAUAAAAUGGAAACAGUCGAAAGGUGCAUUCGAACUUGGGUUGUUAUGGUGCACUUGCACAAUACAACUUUUUCACCUGUUCUAACAGAAUUUAUUUGUUAUUUGACACGAAAAUUACAAUAUAAAUAAUUUGUUUUGGUGCACAUGCUCCAUUGAUCAUUUGUAAAACCUUUAAGUCAUUAUGUAACUAUCAUGUGUAUGUGUUUUUUAGUGCAAAUGUUAAGAAUGUUACGUUUGUUUUGUUGGACAGGCACGUAAUCUACGUUUACAUGUCCGGGGAGAAGACGGGAAGGGUGAUGAGAUAGUAAUCGCGUUAACGUUGGUCAACGAACCAGACCUGGUUUGCAGUGUUUCAUUGUUCUUUUAAUUAUUUAUUUUAAUGAGUAUAGUUGUUAAUAAUGGAAACUGAUUCUUCCUAAUGUUUAGGAACUUAAUCAUCCCACGUUUCCCAUUUCAUCGUUGUAUAGGGAUCAUGAUCCCACAAUUGCUUCUUGUAACUUUUAUCUAUUUAAAUCAAUGCAAACAACAAAAAGAGGUAGUCAUAACUACACAAAAGAAAAGCGUGUUCUAGUCUGUUCUUAAUUUGUUCUUGAACAAAUUCUCUUUGAUUUGAAGAGAGACCUUAAUUGGUAUCAAAUCACAUGUUUCUAGAUCAACAUUGAUAUCUCUUGGCAAGGGACCUAUCAGUGGUAUCAGAGCAUGUUUUGUUUUUGAUCCGGACCACUUUGUGGUAUCAAAAACUUUAUAUUUUUCAUCUUCCUUGUUAUCGGUAUUCUUCAUGAAUCAACGGUUAUCAAGAAUCCUCGACGAACGGCCAUUCUCAGAAUCAACGAUUAUCGAGAUCUAUCCAGCGAUUUUUUUCUUUUUACCAUUUUCUUCUUUUCGGGUUUGUUGAUCAAGUUCAACAUCCUUUCAUUUGUUAUGGAUUAAAAUCUGUAAUUCUUCCAUUGUUUUUCAGUUUUCAAAAAAAAAAAGAUUUCAUCUUUCUUGUCAUUUAAAAGAAAAAGAAAAAAAAACAGUUUUAUUCUAAUAAGGAAACAAGCUUGGUCUGGGUCUUUGAAGUUGUAAUGCGUUGAAAGACAUCUACUGGCAAGAAAAAUCAACAUGGAAGAAAGAGAAGCAACUCAAGUCAAGCUUUCCUCAGUUCAUCACAAACCUUGAGGACAAGGUUCUUUGACGGCCGGAGUAUUGAUGAGAUAGUAAUCGCGUUAACGUUGGUCAACGAACCGGACCUGGUUUUCAGUGUUUCAUUGUUCUUUUAAUUAUUUAUUUUAAUGAGUUUAGUUGUUAAUAAUGGAGACUGAUUCUUCCUCAUGUUUAGGAACUUAAUCAUCCCACGUUUCCUAUUUCAUCGUUUUAUAGGGAUCAUGAUCCCACAAUUGCUUCUUGUAACUUUUAUCUAUUUAAAUCAAUGCAAAUAACAAAAAGAGGUAGUCAUAACUACCCAAAAGAAAAGCGUGUUCUAGUGUGUUCUUAAUUUGUUCUUGAAUAAAUUCUCUUUGAUUUGAAAAGAGACCUUAAUUGGUAUCAAAUCACAUGUUUCUAGAUCAGCAAUAGAUUAUCCUAUAACUGGGACCUAUCAAAAGGUUAUUAGAUACGAUAUGAAGAAGAAAGAGGCCACAGUUGUAAUGGACAAACUUUUUCUUUUUUUGGUGAUAGUAAUGGACAAACUUCAUUUACCCAAUGGUUUAGAUCGUUUGUACUCACAUGUGAAAGUGUUACAAAUACUAUCCAUAGAAUAUGGGUCAAGGAUCCAAUAGCCGGGCCAACGAGGUUUUCACAAAGAUCCCGGGUCCUAUGGACAAUAUCCGGCGCACGCCUAUGGGAGAUUUAAGGGUCGCAUUGCAUUCCAAAGACAGUUUGUUCACUCGUAGUUCGUAUUCUGAUUCCGGUUCGAACCGGGAAGCGGACGUCCGAUGAAGUUUCCGUGCAACGUAGCUCUCAGUGAGUCGGCCACUGAGUUAAAUGUAAAAACAAACCAAAUUGAUGAGAUAGUAAUCGCGUUAACGUUGGUCAACGAACCGGACCUGGUUUGCAGUGUUUCAUUGUUCUUUUAAUUAUUUAUUUUAAUGAGUUUAGUUGUUAAUAAUGGAGACUGAUUCUUCCUAAUGUUUAGGAACUUAAUCAUCCCACGUUUCCCAUUUCAUCGUUGUAUAGGGAUCAUGAUCCCACAAUUGCUUCUUGUAACUUUUAUCUAUUUAAAUCAAUGCAAACAACAAAAAGAGGUAGUCAUAACUACCCAAAAGAAAAGCGUGUUCUAGUGUGUUCUUAAUUUGUUCUUGAACAAAUUCUCUUUGAUUUGAAGAGAGACCUUAAUUGGUAUCAAAUCACAUGUUUCUAGAUCAACGUUGAUAUCUCUUGGCAAGGGACCUAUCAGUGGUAUCAGAGCAUGUUUUGUUUUUGAUCCGGACCACUUUGUGGUAUCAAAAACUUUAUAUUUUUCAUCUUCCUUGUUAUCGGUAUUCUUCAUGAAUCAACGGUUAUCAAGAAUCCUCGACGAACGAUCAUUCUCAGAAUCAACGAUCAUUGAGAUCUAUCCAGCGAUUUUUUCUUUUUACCAUUUUCUUCUUUUCGGGUUUGUUGAUCAAGUUCAACAUCCUUUCAUUUGUUAUGGAUUAAAAUCUGUAAUUCUUCCAUUGUUUUUCAGUUUUCAAAAAAAAAAAAUUUCAUCUUACUUGUCAUUUAAAAGAAAAGCAAAAAAAAACAGUUUUAUUCUAAUAAGGAAACAAGCUUGGUCUGGGUCUUUGAAGUUGUAAUGCGUUGAAAGACAUCUACUGGCAAGAAGAAUCAACAUGGAAGAAAGAGAAGCAACUCAAGUCAAGCUUUCCUCAGUUCAUCACGAACCUUGAGGACAAGGUUCUUUGACGUCCGGAGUAUUGAUGAGAUAGUAAUCGCGUUAACGUUGGUCAACGAACCGGACCUGGUUUGCAGUGUUUCAUUGUUCUUUUAAUUAUUUAUUUUAAUGAGUUUAGUUGUUAAUAAUGGAGACUGAUUCUUCCUAAUGUUUAGGAACUUAAUCAUCCCACGUUUCCCAUUUCAUCGUUGUAUAGGGAUCAUGAUCCCACAAUUGCUUCUUGUAACUUUUAUCUAUUUAAAUCAAUGCAAACAACAAAAAGAGGUAGUCAUAACUACACAAAAGAAAAGCGUGUUCUAGUCUGUUCUUAAUUUGUUCUUGAACAAAUUCUCUUUGAUUUGAAGAGAGACCUUAAUUGGUAUCAAAUCACAUGUUUCUUGAUCAGCAAUAGAUUAUCCUAUAACUGGGACCUAUCAAUUGGUAUCAAUUGGAAAAGAAAAAAAAACAGUUUUAUUCUAAUAAGGAAACAAGCUUGGUAUGGGUCUUUGAAGUUGUAAUGCGUUGAAAGACAUCUACUGGCAAGAAAAAUCAACAUGGAAGAAAGAGAAGCAACUCAAGUCAAGCUUUCCUCAGUUCAUCACAAACCUUGAGGACAAGGUUCUUUGACGGCCGGAGUAUUGAUGAGAUAGUAAUCGCGUUAACGUUGGUCAACGAACCGGACCUGGUUUGCAGUGUUUCAUUGUUCUUUUAAUUAUUUAUUUUAAUGAGUUUAGUUGUUAAUAAUGGAGACUGAUUCUUCCUAAUGUUUAGGAACUUAAUCAUCCCACGUUUCCUAUUUCAUCGUUGUAUAGGGAUCAUGAUCCCACAAUUGCUUCUUGUAACUUUUAUCUAUUUAAAUCAAUGCAAAUAACAAAAAGAGGUAGUCAUAACUACCCAAAAGAAAAGCGUGUUCUAGUGUGUUCUUAAUUUGUUCUUGAAUAAAUUCUCUUUGAUUUGAAAAGAGACCUUAAUUGGUAUCAAAUCACAUGUUUCUAGAUCAGCAAUAGAUUAUCCUAUAACUGGGACCUAUCAAAAGGUUAUUAGAUACGAUAUGAAGAAGAAAGAGGCCACAGUUGUAAUGGACAAACUUUUUCUUUUUUUGGUGAUAGUAAUGGACAAACUUCAUUUACCCAAUGGUUUAGAUCGUUUGUACUCACAUGUGAAAGUGUUACAAAUACUAUCCAUAGAAUAUGGGUCAAGGAUCCAAUAGCCGGGCCAACGAGGUUUCACAAAGAUCCCGGGUCCUAUGGACGGGAAGGGUUAUUAGAUACGAUAUGAAGAAGAAAGAGGCCACAGUUGUAAUGGACAAACUUUUUCUUUUUUUGGUAAUAGUAAUGGACAAACUUCACUUACCCAAUGGUUUAGAUCGUUUGUACUCACAUGUGAAAGUGUUACAAAUACUAUCCAUAGAAUAUGGGUCAAGGAUCCAAUAGCCGGGCCAACGAGGUUUUCACAAAGAUCCCGGGUCCUAUGGACAAUAUCCGGCGCACGCCUAUGGGAGAUUUAAGGGUCGCAUUGCAUUCCAAAGACAGUUUGUUCACUCGUUUGUUUCGGAGUCACUCUUUGGUCGAAAAGUUUUUCCAUCAAGACGUUGAAGGUGGAGAGUGCGAUUCAUCUCAUUAAUGGAGGGAAACCUCAUGGAAUUGUUGUCAAACUCUCUGGAGAGACAUGACUGCAAGGGCGGAUCUAGAACUAUUUUCUACCCAAGGCACAACAUCAUUUAUAACUGAACUCAUUUAUAAAAUAAAGUUUUUGAAAUAAAGAUAAAACAUCUUACAAAUUUGUCCUACGAGAUUCAAUAUUUUUGUAUUUUUUAUCACAACUUCAUUUGUUACUUUAUCAAAUAACUAUUUUCAACCAAACAAACAACACAAUCAUUUAAAAACAGAUUACUUAUCCAGUUCCACAAGCUAGUCUUCACUAUCUUCAUCGCAAAAGAACAUCUUUCAAUUGUAGUGGUGGCAACAAGUAAAGUCAAAGCUAGUUAAAAGACAAUAAACCAGAGGAUGUGAAAGAUGUUCUUUGUCUCUACCAUCAUAUACAUGCAAGAUCUCCAAGAUCCUUCAACUUAGAAAAUCUUUCAUCUUCACAGAUGUUAUCAAUAUAGAGACCAAGUUGAUGUUCAAGAGUCAUCCGCUCGAUAGAACUAAAAUCUUCAGGAUAAAAGUCAGACAAUCUCAUAACUUUCAAUUGAUCAAACUCACGAAAUGAAUCCAUGGGGAUCAUAGAAUCCAUGCAACCAAGUAAUUCAGUGUUUACCACAUCAAAACGUCAUUAAACUCCAAAACUUUCAUAUCAAACAUAGUGUAAAAGCAUUCCACUUUGUAAUGAUGCAAACUGGUUAUAUUGUUUUUUUCUUGGAUUAUAUGAAUCAAAUUCAGCAUCCAUAACCAGCAACUCAGUCUUGUAAUUAUCACAAAAGGAAAUUUUUUUUGUUGAUUAGAGAUACCCAUCCAUUUUCUCUGCGCUUAUACAAUUGCUAUUUGUAGAUUUCACAAGCGACAUAUCAUUCAGAAUAUCCUGAUCUUUCUUUUGAAGAGCCUUUGAUAAACUAUUUGUGAUUCUAAGAAUAAGCAACAUCAACCGUAACUUAGCACAAUUCUAUAUUUUAUGAAUUAUCACGAUUCUUGUUGUUUAGAUAAUAUAAAUAAAAAAUUUCAUUUAUUUUUACCUUUUAGGUCUUUUGUUGAACUCGUUAUACGCAACCUUUGUGUUUGCUUGGGCGAAUAUUUUUUGUAGUUAUGAGAGAAUUUAAUUCUAUACUAUAUAAAAGUUAAGACUAUAAGCCAUCGAAUGCGCCCACGUAGGAUUUUAAACAAUCAACUGUAUUACGACAAAUCACAUUUUUAAUUUGCUAUUUCUAAAAAUGUUAAUAUUACCAAAAAAAUGAUUUAUUUCAAAAUAAAAUUUAAAUCGAUAUCAAAGAAGAUAAAUUUACAAAAUAUAAACAUUUUAACUAAAUUAACUUAAUUAUAACAGUAUAAUUUUUGAAUUUUAAAAUCUAAUUAACUAAUGAAAGUAGUAACUAAUUCAAAAAUGCAAUUUUUUUUGAAUAAUUAUAAAAAUAAAGUUGAGGUCGUAAGCCAUUGAAGGCGUCCACGUAGGAUUUUAUACAAUCAACCAUAUUACGACAAAUCAUAUUUUUAAUUUUCUAUUUCUAAAAAUGUCAAUAUUACCAAAAAAUCAUUUAUUUCAAUAUAAAAUUUAAAUAGAUAUCAAAGAAGAUAAAUUUACAAAAUAUAAACAUUUUAACUAAAUUAACUUAAUUAUAACAGUAUAAUUUUUGAAUUUUAAAAUCUAAUUAACUAAUUUAAGUUGUAACUAAUUCAAAAAUGCAAUUUUUUUGAAUAAUUAUAAAAAUAAAGUUGAGGUCGUAAGCCAUUGAAGGCGUCCACAUAGGAUUUUAUACAAUCAACCAUAUUACGACAAAUCAUAUUUUUAAUUUUCUAUUUCUAAAAAUGUCAAUAUUACCAAAAAAUCAUUUAUUUCAAUAUAAAAUUUAAAUAGAUAUCAAAUAAGAUAAAUUUAAAAAAUAUAAACCUUAUAAAUAAAUUAACUUAAUUAUAACGGUAUAAUUUUCAAAAUUUAAAUCUAAUUAACUAAUGAAAGUAGUAACUAAUUCAAAAAUGCAAAAGAUUGAAUAAUUAUAAAAAUAUAAAUUUAACACAUGAUUCUCAAAAUUUAGGUUAUAUGUGUUAAUGAAAAUAUUCACAAAUAAUUUUUAUACUAUAUAAAAAUUGAAACUGUAAGCUAUUGAACUUGUUCACAUCAAAACAACCAAUGAUGUUAUGACAAAUCUUCAUUUUAAUUUAACAUUUUUAAAAAUAUAAAUAUUUCCAAAAAUUGCAUAUUUAAAAAUAAAAUAAAAUUAUAUAUCAAAUACGUCAAACUAAAAAAAUUAAAAACAAUAUAAAUAAAUUUAAAAUAAUAUGUAUAAUAUUUCGAAUUUUAACAUAAAAUAAUAUGUAUAAUAUUUCGAAUUUUAACAAAAAUUUCAAAGUGUAGGGUAUAUGCUUGAUAAUAUUAACUUAAGGUAAAUCAUAUUAAAUAUCUAUUAUAAAUUUUCUAACAUUAACUUAAGUAUAAACUCUAAUAUUAAACUUUGAAGAAUAUCACUACAGCCUGAAUGAUAAACCUGAUAUGGGCAAUAGAAAAUAUUCUUUUAUUAAGAUAAUAAUAUGUUAUCUAAAGUUGCUGAUAAAAAAAAACUAAAAACAAUAAAAUUUUCCAAAUUAUAACAGUUAAAAAUGUCAACGUUUUCUAUGAAAUCUGUUAAAUUUUUAUUGGAAGUAGAAACUAUUCCAAUGAUAGUUUUGAAAAGGUAUUACAAUGAUAAAUCAAACAAACAUUAUUUAGCUUAUCAUAAAUUUAUAUUUAAUUUUUAUAUCAAAUCUAUUUUAAAGAAUUAUAAGUAACAUAAGCCUUACUACUAUUAUAUACAGUUAUUAGAUCAUGUAGAAGUGAAAUCUAACACUAUAUUUUCUUUAUAUUAAUAUCUAACUAAAUAAAAUAUUAUUUAACAUUAGUUAAAAUGAAUUAUAUUUAUUUUUAUUAUAAAAUUAUUUAACAAAAGUUAUUUAAAAUUAGUUAAAGCUCAUAAAAUAGUAAUGAUGAUUAAAUUUUAAAUCUUAAUUUUCUACUAUUACAUAUUGUUUAGAAAUAAGAAAAACUGCAUGAAAUACAAACACCACUAUUCAAAAAUACUUUAACUUUGGGUUAUGGUUUAAUGAUUAUUUUUUGGUUUAGUAUAUAGGGGGUGGGGUUGAGUUUAUAAACUUCUAUAAUAAUUUUAAACAUUUAUAAAUGAUUUAUAAAGGUUAAUUUUCUCUUUUAACAAUAAACGUAAGUACGUAAGUUAUUUAUGAAACUAAUUAUUAUUUAAAGAUAAAUUUAGAAGUUGUAUCAAAUUUGAAGUAAAUUUAUUAAUCCCCUUGGAAUAAUUAAAGAAAUGUUUUUAAAGUUUCUAUUUAAACACAAUAUAUAUAACCCACACAUUCAUUGUACAAAAAAUUCAAAAAAACAAAAGAAAAUUAAAUAUUAUGCCGUAGAUAUUUCAUUUAUGUUUUUCAAAUAAAAAAUAGCAUUGUAUAUAAAUCGAGAAAUUUAUAUAAUAUUAAAAUUUUAAAUUUUUAGUUUUCUAUAAAAAUAUAAAUACGUUAAUAGUUGUAAUUUAUAUUCUUUUAAUACAAAUAAAUAAAUAUCUAAGUAAUAAUUUUUCUAAAUGUAUAAACAAAUAUAAAUAGGAAAAAAGUAAAAAAAAAUAUUUUCAUUAUAUUUAUAAAAAAAUAUGCAUAAAUGAAUUAUAUUUAUCUUUUAAAAGUAUUACAAAACUAAAUUAUUAAUAAAGCAAACUAAACUAAAUUAAUAAAAUCUAGUUUGUAGAAAAAGAAGACAAAAAUAAACGUGGGCUUAUAGCUAGGUCAAAAUUUUAACUUUCUUAAUUAAUUUUCAUUGUUUUCUGAAUGGGGUUUUCCCAAAGGAGUUUUCCGUAUUUCGACCCGAAAAUCUAAGAGAGGCAUUACUGUUGAGAUUCUGACCAAAAAAUUAGACAUUUCAUGCCCAAUUUGAUGGAAAUUCCGGGUCGAAGAAGAGACAGAUCAACAUACGGCACAGAAAAACUCAAAUCGAUAUAAAUGGAAAAUGUCUCUGAAACUAGUAUAUCGGUCAAUCGAUGGAAUCAUCUACGCCCCAAAAUAAAACUUACUUUUAUUUUUUAUUUUUGGCUAAGAAGAUAUGUGAUUGUAUAAAAUUGUGUUUAUAUUUUUAUGUUGACGGGAACACACUUUAUUAUUCUAUUUACACAAUUAUAUUUUAACUAGAUAUAUAUAUUGUUUUUAAGUAGGGCCACGUGCCCGUAGUUAACCUUGUACAUCCGCCCAUGCACGAUUAUAUUUAACUAGAUAAAUAAAUAAAUAAAUAAAUAAAAGUUUUUUUUUAUUAAUAAAAUUACUUUUUUAUACAUGGUUAAAUGUGAUUUCAGCUAUGUUACAUGGAAACGGAAGCUGGUACGUGGAAGCGGAAGCGUAAGGAAGCGUAGAAGCGAGAUUUUUUAAAAUAUUAGGAAGCGGGUACGUGUUGGAAGCGUAUAUCUAUAUCUAUAUAUAUAUAUAAUUUUUUAAAAAGGUAGUAUGGGGCACAUGCUCCCGUAGUCAAUCUUGUACAACCGCCUCUCUUCUUGAGAUAGUUGAGGACAGUGAAGGGAAGACGAUGAAGUAUGUUAGUGAAGCUUACGAAAGCGAAGAUGGCAAGUUAUGGAUUGGGUCUGUGUAUUGACCGGCCGUUUGGGUGAUUGAAAAUUUGUUUACGGUCUCAAAUGAGUUAGUAAACGCAAACAAAAAAUAAUAAUUUGGUGGUAUGAUAAUUUUUUUAUUCUUUUUUUUAUCGUUUCGUUCCGAAAGACCAGACUCAAAGCCAGGUGGCGGUACUCACAGCUGUGAACCAUUUACCACAAGAACCAGAGGCUCCGGUUAAUAAUUUGGUGGUAUGAUAUUUGUUUUCUUUUUUUCAAACUUGUUAGAAGACAUGCAUCUUUUUUUUUUUGAACAUAGAAGACAUGCAUCUUUUUUUUUAAAAAAAGAGAAGACAUGCAUCUUCUUUUGUAUCUUCUUGUUGUUGUGUGAGUGGACUUUGAUGCUGGAGAAAUUUGGUUCAGUUGAGUAGUUUAAUGUAGUUUUGUGGGAUUUUAUAAAUUUUGUCAAGUGAUUAAAACGAAAAUUGUGUUGUGUCCGACAUGAUGUCUUCGAGAAAUUUUGAUAAAAGUAUUAUAAACUCGACGACAAGGGGGAAGGUACCCAAGAAAUGCUCGUCUUGAUAACAAUGGCUAAGUUCUUUUUGACUGAACUUUUAAGUUCGUUAAACACUAUUCUAAUUAUUAAUUUAUUUUACCUUUCAUAUAACGAUGUACGAUCAUUUUCAUUCAAAAAGAUCAUUUAAUUAUGAUGUACAUCUAGUUAGGGUUCUAAUUUUUCCUUUUUGCUAGCAUCAUGUACGCACUGUUCUUGAACUGGUUUCUGAUCUGAAAUUGGUUUGAUUAACCUGCUAAAUGUGAAUUAGUACGAGAGUUUAAAAUGUAACUAAUUAAACUCUUGCAAUUUUUAAAUUUAAUGCAACCAAAGUUAGCAAAAAAAACACUGCUAAACUAAAGCCUUGGUAUUUUUUUAAAUUACAUAAUCAAUGACCGAAAACAACACAUUCAAAAGAAGUUGUUAUUACUUAUUAAUCCUUUUCAUACGAUGUGGACUGAUUGAGCUCUUUCUCCUCGCUUUAUAUACUACUCUAUCUAUUUCUAAAAAUGUAUGUUAAAUUGGUUUUACACAUAUUAAAUUUUAAUAGUAAACAUAUUAUUUUCUGUAAUUAUUAAUUUCAAAUAAUUUUAAAUAAUAGUAUUUUAAAAGUAUAAUUAAUAUUUUUGAAGUUCGUAAUUUAUCAUUUAUUAACUAAUUAAAAUAUCUAAAAUAUAAAAUAUAUUUUGAAACAACUUUCUUAUAAAACAUUUAUCUUUCUAAUACAGAUAGAUUAAUAUAUAUAAACAAACAAAUUGUAAUUAACAAUGAAAAUGGCCAUUCGUCUAGUUUAAACUUGUAGUGGAGAAAGAUUUUAUUCUUACUUUAAUGUGAUUCGUGUCGGUAAAAGAUGUCUAGUGUCCGGUGAUGUGAUCAUGUAGAACGAGAGGGAGCACCAGCCCUUUUCCCUUUCACAGCUUAGUUUAUCUUGCAUGAUUAGUUCUCAAAAUAUUAUAGUUUUUUUUAAACAGAUUUUUCAUAUUAGAAGGCUAGAAGCGGAAAGAAAUAAAAUGUCACGCCUUACGAGGCCUCAGUUUGUUUUUAGAGCCCAGUCCAGUUACAUAAUCUCAUAUCAAUAAUCAUAAGUUAACCAAUAAUAAACCCAAUAGAUUGGAAAGUUUGGAGCUUUGAUAAUACCGAACCGUCGGAAGAGUCGUGAUCGGCUUGAAGAGGAGUUGGUGGUGAACGGAGGAGUGGCGUAUACUAUCAACAAAAGGAGAGUGGGGAUCUUAACUCAGCCAUUGCUGCAUCAUAGUUGACAAUGCCGAAUGGUUUGUCUGUGAAGAUCCGAUCUCUUAUUUGUCUGUCAAAGAGGCGAGAAACCAAAUCAUAGUUGCCAUGAAAUUACAGUAUAUGUGUUUUUCUACAUCAUGCGCAGAAAUAAAAGUUUUAAAAUUUAAAUUAUAUUUACAACAAAAAUUAUUCGUUAAUUUUUAGAUUUUAUUAUUUGUUAAAAUAUUUAAUUUUAUAUUUUAAUUAAUUAUAUGUAAAAUUUAAGAUUAAAUUUUUUUUUUUUAAUUUAUAUUUAAUAAUAUAUGUGCAUAUUUAAAAUUAUAAUCUUGGAAAGAUUUUUUAUCUAUUUAUUUUGGUUGAAAUAUAUUAAAUCAAAUUCUAAAAAUUAAAAGAAAAUUUUGUCAGAUAUAAAAUUAUCAAAACGUAAAACUAAAUAAUAUUUAUAAAAAUUUAGAUAUUAAAAGAAACUAACGGUAUAAGGAUUAGAAAUUACAUUUUUUUAAAAAACUGCAUAAAGUUUCGAAAUUUUUUUUGUAAUUAAAAUUAUAUAAUUGUAAAAAUAAAAUAAAAAUAAUAUUUCAAAAAUUGUGAAAUAUUAUUAUAUUUCUAUUUAUACUAUUAUAGUAUGUAUUGUUAUAUUUAUUGAUGACGUAUGGGUUAUUAUCAUAUUUCAAAAUUUUAUCAAAAUUAUAAAUCAACAUUUAAUAUAAAUGUACCAUGUCAUCAUUGUUAAUAAACCAUGUCAUUAUUUUUCUUUCAAAAUUAAUGUGGUGAUGAUAAUGUCAAAUUACUUCAGAAAUAAUGUAUAAGAGAUAACUAAUCAUACGUGUAGGUUGUCAAAAAGAAACUAUUCAUACCUGUAGGCUGUCAAAAAUGAUAAUCGAAUUUAAAUAUAUGCAACACUGAGAAUAAUUAUUGAAUUUAAUUUUUGUAAUAAAAAUUAUUUCAAUUUGCAUGUAUGUAAAUUCGAUUUGUUCAUUCUAGAUAACAGAUAACCAGAUAAGAUCAAAACGCAUUUCUCUUGCCAUAGGAUAAGACUUGUGCCUGACGUUACAAGAGAAAUAUGCUUGGCUAUGUCAGAUUUGGACACUUUCCUUUUUUUAUACUCAGGUUUCAGAAACUACAACCUUCAAUAGUACAAAAAAGGGAACUUUUUUCUAUAAAUAAAAACGUUACAUUAGAUGAUUCCACAUGGAUUUCAUUCACUGUAUUCAUAUUUUACAGCUGAUACUUCGACAGAAAUGGCAAUACGUGUAUAUCGUUUCUGCAUCCACACAACAAAGAAAAAUCUACACUACUUUGUCCAUUUUCGUCUGAUUUAUAUAACUAUUGUCACGUUGAUCAUGUAAGCUAAUAACAGCUAGUGUUACACACGUCUCUUCAACCAUCAUAUUUGUCUGCGGCGAAGAAAAAAAAAUGCCGAUUAGUGAGAAACUUCCAACUUGGGCCGUUGUUCCGGCUGUUUUAGCCGUGUUUUCCGUAAUUUUCUAUCAGAUCUUAAUCGCGCCGGACAAUUUGAACGGCACCAAAAAUGUAUUGUCGAUGGCUAAGACCAUACCACUUCCUGUCGAUGGACCAGAGAGCAUUGAGUGGGAUCCGCAAGGAGGAGGUCCUUAUGCUGCUCUUGUGGACGGCCGUAUUCUCAAGUGGCGUGGAGAUGGUCUCGGUUGGGUUGAGUUCGCAUACACAUCUCCUCGCAGGUUUUUACAACGUUUAUUAGACCAUGAUUAUCCCUAGUCUCUUAACUGGAGUUCUUAGCUUCGAAUAAGAGACGAAUCUUAGUUUUCUUAGAUUUUAACUAAGAAAAUCUAAGAAUCGUCUCUUAAAUAAGAAAUAUAAAAGUCGUCUCUUAGUCGAAAAAUGUAAAAAAAAAUAAAAAACUGUCAAAUCUUGAGUUAAGAACCUCCGGCUAAGAAACCGAGGUUAAUCCCUUAGAGCAUGCUUAACCAUGGUUCUUAAUUUGGGGUUUUUAACUCAUGAUUUGACACUUUUUUGUUUUUGUUUGUUUUUUUAACACUUUUCGGCUAAGAACUGGCUCUUAUAUCUCUUAUUUAAGAGACGGUUCUUAGCUUUUUUAAUUAAAAGCUAAGAAACGGUUCUCAGCCGAAACUAAGAACUUCACCCUAAAAAUCCGAGUUAAUCAUGGUCUUAGAACGCACCAUGCAUAGUGACCAAAUAAUUUAAGCAAACAAAACAAUUUGUUUGAUUAUUUAUUUUGUUUUCUUUAGAGGACUAUGAGGAUUUUACUGUAUUGUUCUGGAGCCUUUUCAUAUUUUUCCCUUCUACCCAAUAAAAUUAGAAAGAAAUUUUUUAUAUAUUUAUACUAUUAUUUUGCGAAGUGAUUUUCGAUUCUGAAAUAUAAUACUUUUAAUGAAAUUUUAUAUAUAAUUAAAACGAAUAUUAUAUUAAUAAUAUUAUAUUUCUAUGGUAUAUUAGAUAAUUGGUUAUAUAUUAAUUUAAUAAAAAUUUCAAAACUAAAAAUACAUCUUUAAAAAGAUAAUUCUUAUAUAUUGUGCUGUUAUCUAGAAAUACUAUUUUCUAUUAUAAAAUUUUUUAAAAUAUUAAUCUGUGUAAAGAUAUUUCUAAAAUAUUUCUAAUAUGUGAGUGAUUUAAAAAAAUUAACACAAUAAUAAGCAUAUAUAUUUUAGUGAAAAAACUUGUUAUAUAUAAUGAUCUGAUGUUUGAUAACUUUUUGAAAACAUUAAUAGUACUUUAUUAUGUUAAUUUUUGAAUUAGUUAAAUAUGUAUUCGUAAAAAAUCGCAUGUGCGGGAAAAUAGUAUAAAUAUGUUUACAGUUUACACUAUGGAAGUUUUUUUUAAUAAUAACAAUGAUGUAUUUAUCCAUGUUGUACGUAGAGGGAACUGUUCCCGGCAUGAAGUAGUACCUACAUGUGGAAGUCCACUAGGACUUAGUUUCGAGAAGAAAACAGGAGACUUGUACAUCUGUGAUGGUUACCUCGGGGUCAUGAAGGUUGGGCCAGAAGGAGGCUUGGCUGAGUUGGUAGUGGACCAGGCUGAAGGUCGCAAAGUAAUGUUUGCAAACCAGAUGGAUAUUGACGAAGAGGAAGAUGUCUUCUACUUCAAUGACAGUAGUGACAAGUAUCAUUUCAGGUAUGUUUUAGGCUUUACCAAACUUAUAUAUAUGCACUUAGGAUCAACCAAUUUUCGAAAUGUUUUACCUAACUUAUUGUGUUACCUAAUGUUUAAGCUUUACUUAACGUUUUAAUCUGUUUUUUUUCUCCACGAAACACAAACUUUCGUAGUUUUAUUUUUUCAUUUUCAAUUUAUAAAUAACAAAUAAAUGGAUAGAAGUUGUAGGCUGUUUCCGGUUGCAUUUUAACAAAGUUUAAUGUAUACCUAAAUUCUAACGCAAAACAAAAUAGCGUUUGAACAAUCUAAAAUUUAAAUCUAACUGUAAUUUUUGUUGGUCAGGGAUGUAUUUUACGUGAUUGUCAACGGUGAGCGGCCAGGAAGAGUGAUCAGAUACAAUAAGAAGACGAAAGAGGCCAAGGUUGUCAUGGACAAUCUCCGUUGUAACAACGGUUUGGCUCUAAACAAAGAUAGAUCUUUCUUAGUCUCAUGUGAGUCUGCCACUGGCCUUGUCCAUCGAUAUUGGAUUAAAGGUCCUAAAGCCGGGACUCGUGAUAUCUUCGCCAAGGUUCCUGGUUAUCCUGACAACAUCCGUUUGACACCCACUGGUGAUUUUUGGAUUGGUAUACACUGUAAGAAAAACUUACUAGGACGAUUGGUUGUGAAUAAUCAGUGGUUAGGGAAGUUGGUUGAAAAGACGGUGAAGUUAGAGUUAUUGAUUGGGUUAGUGAACGGGUUUAAGCCGCAUGGGGUCGCCGUGAAAAUUUCCGGGGAGACGGGGGAGAUAGUUGAGAUACUUGAGGACAAAGAAGGGAAGACAAUGCAGUAUGUGAGUGAGGCUUAUGAGAGAGAUGAUGGUAAGAUAUGGUUUGGGUCCGUUUUCACGCCUGCCGUAUGGGUUCUUGAUCGCAAGUGAGUGAUUCCGUUUGUUGUAUGUACGGAGUCAUGUUUUGUAAGUUAAGUGUCUCUUGUUUGUUGCUUGUAUUUAAAAAUAGACAUGCUUGUAGAGUAGAUGCAUCCACUGUACCAUGUACAGUUUCAAUAACUAAAUACUUCUUGACGCUCCUUCCUCUUGUUUACUUUGUUCACAUACAGCCUCACCCUCGCAGAGAAUAAGAGGCUAACACAAUUGUACUAAGCUCGAUAUGAAUACAUACAGAAAAGUAAUCACAUUACAUAAAGCAAAUAAAUUACAUUCCUGUAUAGCAUUAAUAUUAGUUUAAAACUAAACCUGAAAAGACGAAACUUUUGAUGAAGAACAGCUACAUGAAAGAGAGAGAUAAGACACCUGAGCUUGCAAAGGACGUUCAAGUGUGCAGGUGACUGAUUCAGAGUGGUUCAAUACCCUAGUUUAAACGCGGGGGAGGGGGGGUUCUCUAUGUUUAAACAACUGAACAUAGAAUUGUUUAAAGGUCAUUUGUGUUUAAAUUAAACCCAUUGAAGGGUUUUAAUAGGCCCAAUUAAGAGAUAGAGAGACCAGAAAAGUAAAGCUAUGGAAACUGAUCCCUUCAUAUUUUUACCAUUUUGGAAUAUUUUGACAUGUUCCUUGAAAAGUAUCAGUCUGAUGUCUGAAACAGAGAAGCAUACUUGUUUUAAAGGUAAUGAUUGUAGUUGACCCUAGGUCGUUGUAGUUGACCCUAGGUCGAUAAUGCCUUUACAUUAUAGAUCACCGACCGUUGUUUAUUGAAUUUAACCUUUAUAUAUUUAUCAACAAAUGUUUUUUUUUUUUGGUGGGUCAACAAAUAAAUAAAAUGCUUAUGUAUAUGCUGACAACUUGCUUAUGUAUAGGCUUACAACAUUAGAAUUGUUUGGCUGAACCUUCUUCCACCUGAUUUCCACGAGCCUCCAACACUUUCUUGAGGCCGAGUCAUCUUUCAGUAUGUGAACUCUAAUUCUUUAGUGUCAAUGAGUGUACUCUUAAUGCCUGCAAUAUUCUUAUUAAUUGUGACUGGACAUAGCUCUCGCGUGGUACGUAGACUCUGGCGUGUGCCCACUUACGUCCUGAGAUCCAAAUAUUUCUCUUUAUAGUAUAAGUAAGUCGUAUAACACUUCGGAAACACUUAUUAUAUAGUUUCUUAAAUUUUAUUUAACUAGAGAUUUAUUUGUUUAUUUUAUCCUAUUAUCCGGAUAUAAAUAUAUUCCACAAUUAUAUCUCCACCUAUAGUUCAGGGAAGUCCCAGCUUCAAGAGAGAACGUAAUCUUAUAACUUGACAGUAAGCAAACAAAAAUGUGUGCAUUAGUCCCUCCAGUGUUCCCAAACUUUGGGUGGCCGUCGACAGGAGAGUACGAGAGUAACUACCUGGCAGGAGUGAACCUCGAGGACUUUACGUUUCUUGAUUUUCCGGCACCAGAGACAUAUGGAGUGGAACAUUAUCAGGAGAUUCAGGAAAUGUUGGGGGUCUCUGUUCCGUCCGAGGGGAAUGGAGUCUUAACCAAGAAGCUUAAUCACAAUGCUAGUGAGCGUGACCGUCGCAAGAAGAUCAACUCUUUGUUCUCGUCUCUCCGUUCAUGUCUCCCAGCUUCUGAUCAAACGGUAAGUAGCUACUCCGCUAUAUCGUCUAAUUAGUUUCACCUCAAAACCAAAUAGCAAUAAUUAGAUAAUUAGUCUGCUCAUUACAUUAUUUUAUGUGAUAUUUAUAAUACGCUUGUCCAUACAUCUAAUACCAUUUAGAGGAAGAAUAUUGAAUUAACUCUUUUUUCUUUAAUUUCUUUAAUUUCUUUCUUGCAAAAGAAGCUAAGUAUUCCUCAGACGGUUUCUCGGAGCUUGAAGUACAUUCCAGAGCUGCAAGAGCAAGUGAAGAAGCUAAUACAAAAGAAGGAAGAACUCUUGGUGCGAGUAUCAGGUCAAAGAGCCAUUGAACAUUACGUUGAGCCGCAGCCAAAGGCCGUUGCACGUUACGUCUCGACCAUUUCUGCGACUAAGCUUGGAGACAACGAAGUGAUGGUCCAAAUCUCAUCGUCCAAGAAUCAUAACUUUUCGAUAUCUAAUGUGUUGAGUGGGUUAGAAGAAGAUGGGUUUGUUCUUGUUGAUGUUUCAUCUUCAAGGUAUCAUGGAGAAUGGCUCUUCUACUCUUUGCAUCUUCAAAUCUAUAUAUAUAAAGAAAUGUUCGCCUCUCUCCCGUGAAGCCACAUCAUCAAUUUGUGCGUUUUGGGAGUGACACGUGUCCCAUUUUAUAUUUAGGGCCAAAAUAAAUAAAUGCAGUUAAGGGUAAUUGAACCCAGCACCUCUAGCACUGGUAAUUUCUCUUAGAACCACUAGGCUAAAGUCACUUUUUAUAAAUAUGUGGCCGCGAAAAUACUUAUUAUCGUGUCAGCUGGAAGCCCAUGCUUCUUCUGCUUGUGGCCAGGGCCGACACUGAACUGACGUCAAGAUGAAAAUCGUGAAGUUAAAAACUUUGCUCCAAACAGUUUUGCAAUGUUUCCAACCUUUAUAACUUGAUGCAUAUAAUAUAUAUCAAAAUACAUUUGUUGUACACGCUUUUAUUAGUUUUGCUUUUAAAAGAAAUUAUUUACAGUUAUAAAUGUUUUGUGCCAGUGAAGUAAUAGUUGAAAAAUCUCUAUACAUAUGUUAUUUUAAAAUAACACUCAACUUCUAUAUAUAGUCAAUACAUAUGUGCAUGUUAUAUUCUAGACUAAAUAUUUUCUCUUUUAAAAAUAUAAAAAACAAUUUUUUUAGUCUACAAGCAAAUGUUGUAGAACAAGUAUGCAUUAUACAAAAUAAUAUAUAUUUAAAAUCCAUACACAAAAACAUAAAAGUUGUUACAGGCUUCUUUCUGACACAUGCACACUCCACUAUGAAUAAAAAUUAAAAAAAAAACAGUAUUGUCAUCAGACUUUAUCACAAAUCUACAUUUGUACAUCUAUAAUUAUGAGUUAUACAAUUAGUUAAUUUGAUACAAUACCAAAGCAAGAAUAAUCGAAAAACAACUAUACCACCGCAUACUAAUAAGUAAGACAUAACAGAUAACCAAAUUCUUAAAUCUUAAAACAAAUUUCAACUCGAGCAUUUAGUGAAUAUCAAAUUAACUAAUAUCCCGCCCGUAGGGCGGGCCGACCCUAGUGGGAAAUAAAGAUAAUCACAAACUGAAGUGCGAAGAGCUAGGCCAGAGAAUUUUGUACUUGUACGAGGAAUGUGAAAACUCAUUUAGAUGAUAAUUUGUUAUUGUUUCUUUUAGUUAAAAAGUAAGAGACCGUAUCUUAUAUUACGCUAAAAGACCCAACCUAAGAAACCUGCAAUAAACAUGCUCUAAUAUCCAUGUAGUCAAGUUGUUUCGUUUAUUUUUCUUGUCGAAGUCAAUGAUCGAUUAUUACAUUUACAUGCUAUUGAAUAUUGACUGAUUACUAUGAAAUUCAUGUUACUGAAAACUUUUAUUUUUGUUUAGACUUUUGUCUUUGGGGGCUCAACUUUUUGUCGUCUUCUACUCUUUGUUUAUGUAUUUUUUAAUUAUUUACAUAUUGUUAACAGUUAGUUGUGUAUUGUAUAUUAAUAAAAUCAACAAGGAAAAUUUAUUUUUUCAGGCAAAAAAAUGAUAACUAUGUUCUAUUAGGCUAAUUUUUCUUUUGUAUCAUUUUUUCCUCUAAUAUUCUUAAGUAUUUUCUAAAAUAAAUUUAAUAAAUAGUUUUACAAACAAAAAAAAUUCAAAAAAUAGUAACCACUGAUGAAAUACCUAUAUCAACUUAUUGGUAUUUUUUUCCAAUUCUAAAAAUGUUUAAAUCAUAAUUUUAAAUUUUGUUCUACAAAAAAUAGAAUUGACAUUCUACACAGUAGAAAAUGUAAUCCACUUUUUUCAUUGAAUCUAAUAUGUUUGGAAUACGUCAUCUACCUAAACAAUAGUAAUCUAAAAAUAUUUGGAAAACACAUUUCGCGCUUAACCUAUCAUUCUAAAAAUUGUAGAAUUUGAAAUCUACACAUUACUAUAAAUCUAAACCUGUAGAAAUCGUAAUAUACACAUUACUAUAAAUCUAAAACUAGUAGAAAUCGAUUUAAAACAUGUUUAAUGUGUUCUACAUAUACUAGAAUAAAGAUUCUACGGAUAAGAAUAAUCAGUUCCAAAAAUAUGGGAAGAGAAUAUUUGGAAAUAUUCAGUUUCCUUAAAUUUAUUAAAUCGAUUUUUUUUUAAAAAAAUCGUGAUUUAUAAAAUUAAUUUUUAAAUUAAAAAAAAUAAAACAUCGAUUUGGAAAUUUUUUCUCAUGCCAUCUUCUUCUCCCCUUUGUUCUUCAAGGAGAAGAGAAAAAUGAGUUUGAUUGAUUAGAAAUCGAGUUUUAAGAGUUCACCUCGUGUUUGUUCGGUUCAAAUCAAGUGGGAAUCAAACCGGAUUUAACCGACGAAAACCAGGAAAUCGAUUUGGAAGACUUACCUAGGCACGAGAUCGAUCGAUCCUGAAGACGCGACCGAUCGAUCCCGAAGACGCGACCGAUCGAUCGAAGUGGGAUCGAGCUUCUGCGAUCGACUGACCUGGGCUUGGUCGAUCAGUAUAUGCUCUGCAUAUUUUUGUUGUUCUGGAUAAAUUUAUCAGGAUCGACCGGUUUAGAUUGAACUUUUGCUUACGGGAUUGAUCGAUCCCUUUGAGAAAAAAACUUCGAACUUUAGAUUUUUUUGGAGAUUUUUAAUAUUUUAUUUUAAUUAUUUUAGUUAAAAUUAUAUUUUAAUAUUUAACAAUGUUUUAUUAAUUGCAAUUUUGAAAAUUUUAAUUGAAAUUAAGGACAAUAUUGUCAUUUUGAAAAUAUUUAGACUAAUAGGACAUAAAGUAUAUGAGAUUAGCCUAAUAGGACAUAGUUAUCAUUUAUUUGACCUAAAAAAAAACAAUUUUCCCAAUCAACAAAGACAAAAGUGGUCCUUAAGCUUAUAACUAACUGUAUCACUAAUAUGAUAUAAUGGACAACAUUAUAUUCUCUAUAAAAACUGAACAUAGAAUUUUUUAAAGGUCAUUUGUGUUUAAAUUAAGAAAAAAUUGUCAAAACACCACAGAAGACCAACUACAUUGUCCCUAUAGCAUAAAUCCUUUUUUGGUCGGAUUUGGACUUAGAUACCCCUGGCCAACUUAAAAAAUUCAUAUCAAUUAUUUUAAGAGUCAGAAAAAUAUGAAAAAUUAUUCAAAAUGUACAUAAACAUGAAACAAUCAUAUGAAAAAUAAUUUGGCUGACUAAAUAUUAGUGUAACAUAAUUUCAUAUUUUGAUCUUCAGAUCGCAGAAAACAAAAUCUACUAACUACGGAUAUGUAGAUCGUAGUUUCGGUUAACUACAUAUAUAUCUGGCGCUUGAAGAUGUUAAAAUCUACGAUUUCGUAAUAUGUCUACUACCGCAGAAAGAAAAGGUUACGGUUUUGCUUACGAUCUGAACCCCGAAAGAUUUCAUGAACUAAUGUCUCCUAUAUAUCUACUGGCUCGGAAUCAUAGAAUCUGCCAGUUACUAAUACUCUACCAUGGUAAUAUUUCGUUAUCUACUAAGAUAUUAUAACCUAUCUCUGCCGGAUUAUACAUUCUGCCAUCAUAUCUACCAUCAUAUAUACAAUCUACUGGCAACAAAAUGCAUGUUCUGCCAAAUUCGAAUUAUUUUCGAAAAUAUUCCUUAAAUCUUUCCAAAAUCUGUUGAAAAAUAUUUUGUAAAUCUUUAAUUUCCCAAAUUUUACGUGUUUCCUAAAGUUAUGUUUUAAAAAAAAAAACCGUGACCUCUCUUCUUCUUCUUCACAAGUUCUUGAUUAAUUUUGAAACCAUCCCAAAAAUUUGAACCCCUUGUUGAAGAACAUGCAUAUCUAUGCCUCUUGUGGGGUGUGGAAAUUUGAUCCCUGUAAAGGAUGGGGAUUUUGCUUUUGAUAAGGUAAAAGGAGGAAGAGUACUUGCUGUGGAAUUGACAAGUUCCUUUGAAGAUCUAAGGACUACGGCUUUUGAGGAUUUUGGAAUUGACCAAAACGAUGUCGAGCUUGAGUUAACCUACUUACCUAUGGAGUUAAUCAAUACGAUAGACUGUCCUCCAGUUAUCAUUGAGAAUGAUCGGCAAGUCAAGAAUUUUCUUACAUAUGUACGUGGAAAAGCUUCUUCAAGGUUGUGUGUGUCUAUUUCACAUGUCAAUGCAAACAACGACAACAUUGAGCUUGAUAAGGAGCAAUCUAACGCGUCUGGCAGAGAGCGAGGUGAGCCUUCCUCAUUUUCACCUGGAGAUGGCAUUGGUAGUUCUUGUGAAUCGAGCCAGGAUGGUGAAGACGAAUGUAACUCGAACGCCCCAGAAGAAGAUGAAGAUGCUGACUUAAGUGUAAAAGAAGAGGAUAAGGGAAUAAGUGUUCGGUUCUCUUUGAAGGAUGUUGUGAAGAGGGGUGAAACGUUUCAAAACAAAUCUAAGUUGAAAGCAGCAUUGGAAAUGUCAGCAAUGAAGAAUAACUUCGAUUACAAAGUUGUGAAUUCAGAUAGAAAACUUUGGUACAUCCGAUGCGUGGACAACAAGUGUAGGUGGAGUGUUCGUGCUGAGGGGUUAUCAGGAUCCACAUAUUUCAUCAUCAAAAAAUAUGUGGCGGAUCAUACAUGUGCUGCGUCAAGUAUGAAUAAUGGUGGUCGGACAGCUUCUGCAAAAACUAUUGGGAGUCUAAUAAUGCAUAGGUAUGAUGGUGUCAAAGAAGGUCCCAAAGCUAAUGAUAUCAUACAGAUUAUGAGAAUGGAACAUGGAUGCGAGAUAUCUAAAUCAUUAGCGUGGGACGCUCGUGAGUAUGCGAUUAGUCUGGUUAGAGGCAUUCCCGAGCAGAGUUUUGGAAAAAUUCCGAAAUACUUGCACAUGCUGAAAGAAGCUAAUCCAGGAACACACACCUUUUACGAAACCGAUGUUGAUGGUAAAUUCAGAUUUCUCUUUGUUUCGUUUGGGCAAUCAGUACGAGGUUUUCAUACAUCCAUGCGAAAAGUUUUUGUUGUUGAUGAGACAUUUUUGAAGAGCAAAUACAAAGGGGUAUUACUUGUUGCAACAACUUUAGAUGGAGACUCCAACUUGUAUCCUAUUGCAUUUGCGGUUGUGGACUCAGAAAAUGAUCGUUCAUGGGAUUGGUUUUUCAGACAACUAAAGGUUGUUGUUCCGGACGAGCGUGCUCUUGCCUUUGUGUCGGACAGAAAUAACUCACUUUGUAAGGGGCUUGAGAAUGUGUAUCCUCUUUCUCAACAUGGAAUUUGUAUUCACCAUUUGUUAAAUAAUGUGGUCACACAUUACAGAGGAAAAGGAGUGGUUGGAUUGAUUGCAAAAGCUUCUAAAGCUUAUAGAGUUGUUGAUUUUCAGAAGCGAUUCNNNNNNNNNNNNNNNNNNNNNNNNNNNNNNNNNNNNNNNNNNNNNNNNNNNNNNNNNNNNNNNNNNNNNNNNNNNNNNNNNNNNNNNNNNNNNNNNNNNNNNNNNNNNNNNNNNNNNNNNNNNNNNNNNNNNNNNNNNNNNNNNNNNNNNNNNNNNNNNNNNNNNNNNNNNNNNNNNNNNNNNNNNNNNNNNNNNNNNNNNNNNNNNNNNNNNNNNNNNNNNNNNNNNNNNNNNNNNNNNNNNNNNNNNNNNNNNNNNNNNNNNNNNNNNNNNNNNNNNNNNNNNNNNNNNNNNNNNNNNNNNNNNNNNNNNNNNNNNNNNNNNNNNNNNNNNNNNNNNNNNNNNNNNNNNNNNNNNNNNNNNNNNNNNNNNNNNNNNNNNNNNNNNNNNNNNNNNNNNNNNNNNNNNNNNNNNNNNNNNNNNNNNNNNNNNNNNNNNNNNNNNNNNNNNNNNNNNNNNNNNNNNNNNNNNNNNNNNNNNNNNNNNNNNNNNNNNNNNNNNNNNNNNNNNNNNNNNNNNNNNNNNNNNNNNNNNNNNNNNNNNNNNNNNNNNNNNNNNNNNNNNNNNNNNNNNNNNNNNNNNNNNNNNNNNNNNNNNNNNNNNNNNNNNNNNNNNNNNNNNNNNNNNNNNNNNNNNNNNNNNNNNNNNNNNNNNNNNNNNNNNNNNNNNNNNNNNNNNNNNNNNNNNNNNNNNNNNNNNNNNNNNNNNNNNNNNNNNNNNNNNNNNNNNNNNNNNNNNNNNNNNNNNNNNNNNNNNNNNNNNNNNNNNNNNNNNNNNNNNNNNNNNNNNNNNNNNNNNNNNNNNNNNNNNNNNNNNNNNNNNNNNNNNNNNNNNNNNNNNNNNNNNNNNNNNNNNNNNNNNNNNNNNNNNNNNNNNNNNNNNNNNNNNNNNNNNNNNNNNNNNNNNNNNNNNNNNNNNNNNNNNNNNNNNNNNNNNNNNNNNNNNNNNNNNNNNNNNNNNNNNNNNNNNNNNNNNNNNNNNNNNNNNNNNNNNNNNNNNNNNNNNNNNNNNNNNNNNNNNNNNNNNNNNNNNNNNNNNNNNNNNNNNNNNNNNNNNNNNNNNNNNNNNNNNNNNNNNNNNNNNNNNNNNNNNNNNNNNNNNNNNNNNNNNNNNNNNNNNNNNNNNNNNNNNNNNNNNNNNNNNNNNNNNNNNNNNNNNNNNNNNNNNNNNNNNNNNNNNNNNNNNNNNNNNNNNNNNNNNNNNNNNNNNNNNNNNNNNNNNNNNNNNNNNNNNNNNNNNNNNNNNNNNNNNNNNNNNNNNNNNNNNNNNNNNNNNNNNNNNNNNNNNNNNNNNNNNNNNNNNNNNNNNNNNNNNNNNNNNNNNNNNNNNNNNNNNNNNNNNNNNNNNNNNNNNNNNNNNNNNNNNNNNNNNNNNNNNNNNNNNNNNNNNNNNNNNNNNNNNNNNNNNNNNNNNNNNNNNNNNNNNNNNNNNNNNNNNNNNNNNNNNNNNNNNNNNNNNNNNNNNNNNNNNNNNNNNNNNNNNNNNNNNNNNNNNNNNNNNNNNNNNNNNNNNNNNNNNNNNNNNNNNNNNNNNNNNNNNNNNNNNNNNNNNNNNNNNNNNNNNNNNNNNNNNNNNNNNNNNNNNNNNNNNNNNNNNNNNNNNNNNNNNNNNNNNNNNNNNNNNNNNNNNNNNNNNNNNNNNNNNNNNNNNNNNNNNNNNNNNNNNNNNNNNNNNNNNNNNNNNNNNNNNNNNNNNNNNNNNNNNNNNNNNNNNNNNNNNNNNNNNNNNNNNNNNNNNNNNNNNNNNNNNNNNNNNNNNNNNNNNNNNNNNNNNNNNNNNNNNNNNNNNNNNNNNNNNNNNNNNNNNNNNNNNNNNNNNNNNNNNNNNNNNNNNNNNNNNNNNNNNNNNNNNNNNNNNNNNNNNNNNNNNNNNNNNNNNNNNNNNNNNNNNNNNNNNNNNNNNNNNNNNNNNNNNNNNNNNNNNNNNNNNNNNNNNNNNNNNNNNNNNNNNNNNNNNNNNNNNNNNNNNNNNNNNNNNNNNNNNNNNNNNNNNNNNNNNNNNNNNNNNNNNNNNNNNNNNNNNNNNNNNNNNNNNNNNNNNNNNNNNNNNNNNNNNNNNNNNNNNNNNNNNNNNNNNNNNNNNNNNNNNNNNNNNNNNNNNNNNNNNNNNNNNNNNNNNNNNNNNNNNNNNNNNNNNNNNNNNNNNNNNNNNNNNNNNNNNNNNNNNNNNNNNNNNNNNNNNNNNNNNNNNNNNNNNNNNNNNNNNNNNNNNNNNNNNNNNNNNNNNNNNNNNNNNNNNNNNNNNNNNNNNNNNNNNNNNNNNNNNNNNNNNNNNNNNNNNNNNNNNNNNNNNNNNNNNNNNNNNNNNNNNNNNNNNNNNNNNNNNNNNNNNNNNNNNNNNNNNNNNNNNNNNNNNNNNNNNNNNNNNNNNNNNNNNNNNNNNNNNNNNNNNNNNNNNUAGAAAGAUAAGAGAACUGAUUUGUGAAAUCCGUAUUAACCACUCCAAGGCUGGAUUUCUCCUCAGCCAGCAGGAUUUCUCUUCCACCACCUAGCCAACAAAUCAAACUUUUGUUUUUUUGUUUCUUUUUUUUUUUUUAGUUUUUUUUUUCUAAUUUAAAAAAAAGAAAAUUAAAAAGCAGACCAAUCGCGGAGCGCCACGUGUCGGUGGAACCCGCAAACAGUGCAAAACACACACAUCAGUCGUUUCUUAUUUUGCCCACUUUGCAUACGGUUUUUCUAAAACCUCGGCCCCCCACCGCUUUAGAGACGUUAAAAAUGUAGCGAUAAUAAUGCUCUAAUAGUGACAUAAAACAUAACAAUUAAAAGCCAGGAAAGUAACUUUUUUUAAGAAAAAAUUGCCAAAACACCACAGAAAAACAACUACAUUGUCCCUAUACCAUAAAUCAUUUUUUUGUCAGAUUUGGACUUAGAUACCUCUGGUCAACUUCAAAAAUUCAUAUCAAUUAUUUUAAGAGUCAGAAAAAUAUGAAAAAUUAUUCAAAAUGUACAUAAACAUGAAACAAUCAUAUGAAAAAUAAUUUGGCUGACUAAAUAUUAGUGUAACAUAAUUUCAUAUUUUGAUCUUCAGAUCGCAGAAAACAAAAUCUACUAACUACGGAUAUGUAGAUCGUAGUUUCGGUUAACUACAUAUAUAUCUGGCGCUUGAAGAUGUUAAAAUCUACGAUUUCGUAAUAUGUCUACUACCGCAGAAAGAAAAGGUUACGGUUUUGCUUACGAUCUGAACCCCGAAAGAUUUCAUGAACUAAUGUCUCCUAUAUAUCUACUGGCUCGGAAUCAUAGAAUCUGCCAGUUACUAAUACUCUACCAUGGUAAUAUUUCGUUAUCUACUAAGAUAUUAUAACCUAUCUCUGCCGGAUUAUACAUUCUGCCAUCAUAUCUACCAUCAUAUAUACAAUCUACUGGCAGCAGAAUGCAUGUUCUGCCAAAUUCGAAUUAUUUUCGAAAAUAUUCCUUAAAUCUCUCCAAAAUCUGUUGAAAAAUAUUUUGUAAAUCUUUAAUUUCCCAAAUUUUACGUGUUUCCUAAAGUUAUGUUUUUAAAAAAUAACUGUGACCUCUCUUCUUCUUCUUCACAAGUUCUUGAUUAAUUUUGAAACCACCCCAAAAAUUUGAACCCCUUGUUGAAGAACAUGCAUAUCUAUGCCUCUUGUGGGGUGUGGAAAUUUGAUCCCUGUAAAGGAUGGGGAUUUUGCUUUUGAUAAGGUAAAAGGAGGAAGAGUACUUGCUGUGGAAUUGACAAGUUCCUUUGAAGAUCUAAGGACUACGGCUUUUGAAGAUUUUGGAAUUGACCAAAACGAUGUCGAGCUUGAGUUAACCUACUUACCUAUGGAGUUAAUCAAUACGAUAGACUGUCCUCCAGUUAUCAUUGAGAAUGAUCGGCAAGUCAAGAAUUUUCUUACAUAUGUACGUGGAAAAGCUUCUUCAAGGUUGUGUGUGUCUAUUUCACAUGUCAAUGCAAACAACGACAACAUUGAGCUUGAUAAGGAGCAAUCUAACGCGUCUGGCAGAGAGCGAGGUGAGCCUUCCUCAUUUUCACCUGGAGAUGGCAUUGGUAGUUCUUGUGAAUCGAGCCAGGAUGGUGAAGACGAAUGUAACUCGAACGCCCCAGGUGUGUGCAAUAUUAGUCCAGCUAUUGGAAAAUAUUUAAGAGAUGCAGAUGUUACAAAGUGGGCUCGCUGUCAGUUUCAAGGAUACAGGUACGACAUCAGGACGACAAACCCGGCUGAGUCAAUAAACUCUGCUUUGCGCUCACCAAGAGAGUAUCCAGUCAUUCCUUUGUUGGAUAGCAUCAAAGAAAUGCUUACCCGUUGGUUCUUCGAACGACGCACACGAAGCAGGAAGCACACAAAACCAUUAACUAUUGCCAUCGAGAAAAAGAUAGAUAGACGGAUUAACAAGGGUAAAAUGUUUCUUGUCCAGCCAGUUAACGUGCAUCAUUUUUUGGUUCGCGGAGAUACAAUCGACUGCCUGGUUGAUUUGGACAGAAGAACAUGCUCUUGUGGGAAAUACGACCUACUGAAAAUCCCAUGUAGACACGCAAUCAAGGCUGGUUUAACAGUUGGCAUGAUGGUGUCAAAGAAGGUCCCAAAGCUAAUGAUAUCAUACAGAUUAUGAGAAUGGAACAUGGAUGCGAGAUAUCUAAAUCAUUAGCGUGGGACGCUCGUGAGUAUGCGAUUAGUCUGGUUAGAGGCAUUCCCGAGCAGAGUUUUGGAAAAAUUCCGAAAUACUUGCACAUGCUGAAAGAAGCAAAUCCAGGAACACACACCUUUUAUGAAACCGAUGUUGAUGGUAAAUUCAGAUUUCUCUUUGUUUCGUUUGGGCAAUCAGUAUGAGGUUUUCAUACAUCCAUGCGAAAAGUUCUUGUUAUUGAUGGGACAUUUUUGAAGAGCAAAUACAAAGGAGUAUUACUUGUUGCGACGACUUUAGAUGGAAACUCCAACUUGUAUCCUAUUGCAUUUGCGGUUGUGGACUCGGAAAAUGAUCGUUCAUGGGAUUGGUUUUUCAGACAACUAAAGGUUGUUGUUCCGGACGAGCGUGCUCUUGCCUUUGUGUCGGACAGAAAUAAUUCACUUUGUAAGGCGCUUGAGAAUGUGUAUCCUCUUUCUCAACGUGGAAUUUGUAUUCACCAUUUGUUGAAUAAUGUGGUCACACAUUACAGAGGAAAGGGAGUGGUUGGAUUGAUUGCAAAAGCUUCUAAAGCUUAUAGAGUUGUUGAUUUUCAGAAGCGAUUCCAAGCUGUGUGCAAUAUUAGUCCAGCUAUUGGAAAAUAUUUAAGAGAUGCAGAUGUUACAAAGUGGGCUCGCUGUCAGUUUCAAGGAUACAGGUACGACAUCAGGACGACAAACCCGGCUGAGUCAAUAAACUCUGCUUUGCGCUCACCAAGAGAGUAUCCAGUCAUUCCUUUGUUGGAUAGCAUCAAAGAAAUGCUUACCCGUUGGUUCUUCGAACGACGCACACGAAGCAGGAAGCACACAAAACCAUUAACUAUUGCCAUCGAGAAAAAGAUAGAUAGACGGAUUAACAAGGGUAAAACGUUUCUUGUCCAGCCAGUUAACGAGCAUCGUUUUUUGGUUCGCGGAGAUACAAUCGACUGCCUGGUUGAUUUGGACAGAAGAACCUGCUCNNNNNNNNNNNNNNNNNNNNNNNNNNNNNNNNNNNNNNNNNNNNNNNNNNNNNNNNNNNNNNNNNNNNNNNNNNNNNNNNNNNNNNNNNNNNNNNNNNNNNNNNNNNNNNNNNNNNNNNNNNNNNNNNNNNNNNNNNNNNNNNNNNNNNNNNNNNNNNNNNNNNNNNNNNNNNNNNNNNNNNNNNNNNNNNNNNNNNNNNNNNNNNNNNNNNNNNNNNNNNNNNNNNNNNNNNNNNNNNNNNNNNNNNNNNNNNNNNNNNNNNNNNNNNNNNNNNNNNNNNNNNNNNNNNNNNNNNNNNNNNNNNNNNNNNNNNNNNNNNNNNNNNNNNNNNNNNNNNNNNNNNNNNNNNNNNNNNNNNNNNNNNNNNNNNNNNNNNNNNNNNNNNNNNNNNNNNNNNNNNNNNNNNNNNNNNNNNNNNNNNNNNNNNNNNNNNNNNNNNNNNNNNNNNNNNNNNNNNNNNNNNNNNNNNNNNNNNNNNNNNNNNNNNNNNNNNNNNNNNNNNNNNNNNNNNNNNNNNNNNNAAUUCUUCAAUUCCCAACAAUCCUUCUUCAAGUGACCCUUCUUGCCACAGUGGUAGCAUUUAAAAGUCUUCUUACUUCUUGACUUUGAUCUACCAUGUUUGUGACUCCCACUUGAGCCAUGUUCCAUUGAUCUCCCUCUCAUCACCGUCAAUGCCUCUAUUUGGGAAUUUUCUCGUCUGUCUUCCUUACUUUUGCGCCGACUUUCUUCUUCUAGAACCGCAGCUGCAACAUCGUCAAAGACUAGACUGUCGGUGGAGACAUUAUUUGUUAAGUUGAUGAUGAGUUGAUCAUAUGAAUCUGGUAGACUUUGAAGUAGAAGCUCAGAAUUUUCUUGUGAUUCUACUUUAUAACUCAACGAAGUGAGUUGAGAAAAUAAAGUAUUCAACGUGUUGAUGUGCUCCGUCACUGAAGUAUAUUCUCCCAUCCGAAGGGUAUAAAGCUUCUGGAUAGAGCAGGAUCACAGCUAAUAAUUUGAGAAAUAGUGUAAUAAAUGGAACACCGGAUUUAACGUGGAAAACCCCAAAGGGUAAAAACUACGGACAAGGUAGAAGAAUUUAUUACGAGAAAAAUAAUAGGAGUUACAACCUCUCAAUUAUAACGGAGAAAUCGAUUAAUAAUUUUCUCGUUAUAAUAGGAGAAAAUACCAAAACUCUCUAAAUAAUUUUCUCUCAACCCGAUCCCAAAUACCCGUAAGAAAUUUUUUUUUUUUUUCUCUCUCACGUUCUUCUUCUUCCUCACUUCUCUCUGUGAUUUUGAUUUUUGGGAUGAAUGAAAUGGUUCACCAUAUCUCUCAUUUUAUAAGCAUGAAGAAGGUGUUUGGUGAGCUCACAAUCUUUGACAAAACCAACGUCAAUAAUUUCAGCCACCUAACAUCACCGUCCAUGCCAUCACCGUCCACUCCUCCGACCAUCAUAUUAAAAACGUGUUUUAACAUAUUUCAGUAUGUAAAUAAUAAUGUUAUUAUAGUUUUCAUAUGCCUCUUCAAUUCCUAUACAUUAUAUCCAAGGAAGGAUGACUGGACCUAGUGCAUGCGUGGAACAUAAGCUCCCGAACGUGCCAAACUGUGUCCUACCGCUACCAAGACCUACAUAUUUAUCAUUGUAGUAAAUAUAAGUAUAUAUAACGCAUAACUAUAUAGUCUGAACGAAUCAAAUUACAACUUUAUUAUAUAGGUUUUUUUUUUUGAAAAAUCUUUAUUAUAUAGUUUGUAGAUUAAUAUCUAACAACGUAGAUUUUUUUCUUAAAUCCUUUAUCCGCUAUAUAAUCGGGAGACACUUUUAUUCCAGCCAAAGUACAGCUUCGAUAGAAAACAUAAGCUAUAAACUUGUCUCUAAUUAAGCAAAGAAAAUGUGUGCAUUGGUCCCUCCAGUGUACGAGAGCUACGAGAGAGUACGAGAGCUACUACGGUAGUGGAGAGUACCUCACCAACGGCACAUUUUUUUAUUUUCCGGAGACUUUUGGAGUGGUUCAUCAACAGAACGUGCUUAGGGGUUUCUGUUUCGUCAGAAGUAAUUGGAAUAGACAAGAACCCGGUUGUAACCAAGAAGCUUAAACACAAUGCAAGCGAGCGUGACCGUCAGAAGAAGAUCAACUCUUUGUUCUCAUCUCUGCGUUCCUGUCUUCCAGCCUCUGAUCAAUCGGUAAGUAGCUACUCUGAUAAAUCAUAUAUGUCUCUAUAUUAUUUAGAGGAAGAAUAUAAAACUAACACUUUUUUCUUUACUUUCUUGCAGAAGAAGUUAAGUAUUCCUAAACGGUUUCGAGGAGCUUGAAGUACAUACCAGAGCUGCAAGAGGAAGUGAAGAAGCUAAUACAAAAGAAGGAAGAACUUUUGGUGCGAGUAUCGGGUCAAAGAGACAUUGAACAUCACGUUAAGCAGCAACCAAAGGUGGUUGUGCGUUAUGUCUCGACUGUGUCUGUGACUAGGCUUGGAGACAACGAAGUGAUGGUCCAAAUCUCAUCGUCCAAGAUUCAUAGCUUUUGGAUAUCUAAUGUGUUAAGUGGGUUAGAAGAAGAUGGGUUUUGUUCUUGUGGAUGUUUCAUCGCCAAGGUCUCAUGGUGAAAGGCUUUUCUACACUUUGCAUCUUCAAAUGGGAUAUAUUGAUUACAAGAUGGAUUGCACAGAAUUAAGUCAGAGGAUUUUGUUUCUUUAGAAGAUAACUUGGUUGGUUUCUUUUAGUUAUGUCGUUCCUUUCUCUUCAACAUCGAACAUUCUUGAUCCCUAAGCAUUGUAAUUGAGUUGUUUCGGUUUACUAUGCAAAUAAUAUUACAGAAUUAAAUUUUUAAUUCUUUUUAUUUACUUCGACUCAACAUUACUGGUAAUAUACUCUUGUUCCGAAAUUUCGCUAGGUGUUGUACAUACACUUGAAUACUACUGAAUUGUGAAAAUAUCAAAAAUUAUCAGGGAUUUAUUUUUAUUCUUAUACUAUACUAGGUGUUUUGACCGCACAUGCGGACAUAAUUCUUUUAUAAAUAUUUAUUAAUAAAUAUACUAUUAGUUUAAAGAUCAAAAUUUUAAUUAAAACAUUAAAUUUAUACUAUUUUAUGAAUCUUUUAAUUUCUUUAAAUUUAUACUAUUUUAUAAAUCUUUUAAUUUCUUAGUUUUACUUUUACAGAUUUAAAACAUUAUUUUGGAUAAAACAUUAAUAUAUUAAUUUAAAAUAUGUUGUAAUAAUUAAAUAAAAUAUAUAUAUAAUUGUUAAUAUAAAGUGAUGUUUUCAAACCAAGGGAAAUUGCCACAAAUAUCACAUUCAUAGUACCACUUUUACUCUCACUUUUAAUGAAGGGUAAAAGACAUUUAUACCCUUAGAAUUAACUAAUCUAGAAUUAGGGUUUAAAGUUGAGAGGUGGGAUAUGGUUAUUGGAAUGUGAAAUUUAGGAUUCUAAUAAAUAUAUAAAUAAAUCCUUAAAAAAUAUAAAAAAAAAAUUUCAAACAUAAUUUUUGAUUUUCAAAAAGAAAUUUUGAAAAAACAAUUUGAAUUUUUUUUUAUAAAAAGUUCGAAUUUGAAAAAGUAUAAUUCGAAAACAUAAAAAAUAAAAAUUUAUUUUUAUUUUUUAAUUUUUAAUAUUUUAUUUAAAUAAUUAUUUAUUAUAUAUAUAUAUAUAACAUGGUUAUAAGAGUCUUUUGCCACUUAAUGAAAAAAAUAAUUCUGAAAAUGUCUCUUUAGUGGUAGUAAAGAUAAAUAAUAGUACCAUGAAAGUGGUAAACAUGAAAUUCCCCCUCAAACCAAAUGUAAGGCUAUGAAUAUGAUGCAGUACAAAAGCAGAAGAAACACAGGAGAAAUAGUCUUCAGUUUUAUAUGCACUUUUUGUCUAUUCAUCAUUAAUAUGCAGAACAAAAAGAAAAUAAUAUAAUAUUUAGUAAACUGUUUGUAAAUAAUUUUAUAUGUAAGAAAAAAAUUGUCCCGCAAACAUAGCAAAAAAAAGAAGAUGGCCAAAAAUAGAGGCCCAAUAGGUAAUUUUCUUCUUCUUUUUCUUAUAAAUACUACACCCAUCUUAAUUUAUUUCAUUAAUAAACAAAACAAAUUCUAUAAUUUUUUUGUAAACACUUAUAUAUUUUUUUACUUGACAUAUUCAUAAAUUUAACAUAAUUUUCUGCAUAAAUAUUUAUUUAGCUACACUAAAUAAUCUUAUAUAAUAUUUAAAUAAAUAGAAAACAUAUAUGGUUGGUUUUAUUUCAUCUUAUAAGAUUUUUAUAGAAAUCAGUUAAAUGAAUUCAUGCAUUUUAUUGAUUGAUUAUAUUUAUAAAUUUAAAUAGUUAUUUUAUUAUCAUUCAUAUUUUAGACAAUGAAAUAUUGUAUAUAAUUUCUUUUUUUGUGUCAUACAUACAUAUAUUAUGAGACAUUCAUGUAUUUUUAUCCUUUCUUUAACUGGUUUUUCAUAUUUCAGGUUAUAUAUACCCCAAAAAUAAUUGAAAAAUAAAAGUACAUUUUCAAUUUGUUUCUUAAGUGAAUUAUAAAAUUUUUAAUAUGUUAAAAAUAAGAUAUUUGGAGUUUCGACAAGGAAAACUUAUAACUAACAUUAGAGAAAUUAUUGCAAAUAUUUUAUGCACAAACAAAAAUACUCUCUAUUAACUUUUUCAAUUUAAUUGUAUGUUGUAAUUGUAUUUAUUUUAUAUAAUGUUUAAAUUUUGAUCAUAUUUAAUAAAAUAAUAACAUUUACUGUUUAUAUAUAAGAAUUUGUAAUUUUAUUUUAAAUAUUUUACUUAUAUUUUUUAAAUUCGUUUAAAUAUAAUAAUUCAGUAAAUUAGUUUAACUAGUUCGAUCUAUAUUUAUUCUGCGAAUUUAUUUAAUCGGUAUUUGUUCUAUUUGAUAUGCAUCGUAUGUUUGAUCCGUAUAUUUUUUUGAUCUGCGUCCCCAUUAAUUGUCGGUGGUGUUUUCUAUUGGUACAGUAACAAAAACGAGUCACUGGUCCCUUGUCAUUGGUCCCUUGUCAUUGGUCCCUUGUUCUGAGUGUUUUUCUGAGAAAGAAUAGUUUAGUAUCAUCGAGACUAGUGGCCUAGAAAACAUUGUAUGGGUCAAAGAUCAAGAAAGUUUUGUUCAGAAAAGAAACAGUAUAAAGACAAAAGGUAGAACACUGAUUGAUACAUAUAAGCCUUUUUGGUUAAAGAGAACACUAAUAUGUACCUGUUCAACGUGUGUGACGUGUGUUGUGUCCAAAGCACUUGAAAAAGAAUAUCAGUUUUAUCUAUUUAAUAGAGUAAUCAAGUGCACAUCAUCAUUCACAUAACAACUUCUCCUCAGAGACAAGAGAGAUGCCGAUUAGCCAGAGAGUUCUGAAGCAGGUUGCAGCCUUUCCGGUUGUUUUAGCCAUCGUUUGCUAUUUCUUCUUGCCAUCAAUCAACGCGCCGGACCUCCUAAAGGGCACGAAGAACGUUCUCCAAGUGGCUAAGACCAUUCCUCUCCCUGGCGAUGGACCAGAGAGCUUAGAAUUCGAUUCACAAGGUGAAGGCCCUUACGUUGGCGUCACUGACGGUCGCAUCCUCAAAUGGCGCGGCGAAGAGCUAGGCUGGGUUGAGUUCGCCCACUCUUCUCCUCACAGGUUCAAUCUUAACAAAAAAAUGCUAACCUUCCUAUGUUUUCAUUGUUCUAUUUAGUCGUUUAAUAGAUUUUGAUCAAUGUUCAAAAAAUCAUUAGGUAGUAAUUAAACGUUUUAUAGGGGAUUAGUUGUACUUGUAUAGAUGGGACGCCUACAGGCUAUCUAAGCCGAUUUUGAAAAAUAGUUCAUAAAUAUCGUUUCGCUUAAGGCUAAUUUAUUUAUGACAGAUUUAUUAGAGGGUUGACUUCUCUACGCCCCGCAAACUACUUAAAACCACAGUCAAUCCCCCUAGACUUUUAAGCUCUUCUCCUAACCCCACAAAAUUAAAUGAUUCAUCAAAUAUCCACCUAAACUAUUUAUUUCAAGUUAAUUACACAUUUUUUUCUUAUAUAAGAGUACAUGCGUUUAGAAAUUAAAAAAACGUUUAAAAAUAGCGAUUACUCUUUAUCCGAUCCAAUAAUUUUUUUUGGAUCCAUGAUCCACACAAAAAGACCCGACACGUUAAUAGAAAAAACCUAUGCUAACAAACCCUACCUUACACGUACACCUUAAACAACCUUACGCCACUCUCGUAAAGCACAUGUAUCGAAUUGGAGAAAGACAGAGCUACUAGGUGAAGGUUCUAUUUAUUAAAGAUGGAGAAUGAGGCACGCAUAAACUAAGGAAGGAUGGUGAUUUAUGAAUGUUCUUAUAACAAACCAAAUCUAUGAAUGAUGACCUUUGGGAGUUUUAAUAAUUCUUGUUUAGUUUUGCGUCUUAUGGUUAUUUUAAUAACUUUGUGAUCCUAUAAAUGAUGUUUUCUGAGAAUUUUUAGUAAACCAUUUUUCCUUGUGUUGACUUUGAAUAUUUUCCUUUAUAGGAAAAAUUAUAUUAGACGUUGUCUACGCUGAAUCCAGAUGAUGACAUGCGAACAUGUUGUUUGACAAUUGACACUUUUGUUGUUCUCAGACAAACAUAGACUAAUAAUCUUCAAGUUAUUGUGAUGACUGUGAUGGCUUACGUUUAACAUAAUCAAGUUUACAAAUGUUUAUGUAUAUAAAACAAACUAUGUCACUACAACAAAGUGGCUCCUUACAAACGAGAACAAGAUGAUCCCUUUGUCUCUUUUCUCUUGUUUUAUGGGAAAUAAGUAAGCAACAAAAUUUUCUAACACACAGAACACAGCCCGAUGGAGAUUAUAGAACUCUGGACAGAAUAAUGUGCAAUCUCAAAAAUUCAAUAGUAAAAGUCACAAAAGAAGAAGAAUUUUUCUUGACGUGGUUGCAGCUUGUAGCGCCCUAACUCUAGCCUUUAAGACCAUCCCGGGUUCAUCUGCCACUUGCAUUGAAUAAAAAUUUCUUGGAGCUUGUAACUAAAGUUCUUCGGUAAUAUAUAGCUUUAGACAUAGGUCCUGGAACAAAAGGGAACUGAAACAUCCACCAAACCACAAAUAAUCCAAAGCAAAAAACAUAUAAGAAAACUUACAUAGAAUACCUUAGAUCGUGUUCAUAAAAAAAAGAAAAAGAAUAUUGUAGAUCGUUGCUCUCUUUUACGUUGUAAGUAAGAUUCAAAUCUUAAACUAAAAAACAAUCUCUAUGAAGCUUCCUUAAGCUUCUUUUCAUAGAGAUGAAGUAUGAACCCUAGUUUCAGAGCAAUUGAGGGCGAAAUUAUGUCGAGAGUUUCAUAUUCGGGUCUUUUAACUUAAGUCGGGUCAUACGGUUGGGUGGGGAGAUUAUCGGGUAGUUUUAUGGUCAACGUGAUUUGUCUGAUCGCGUUUUAUGAAACUAAACGCAAUCACGUCGAAAUCAUACGAUAUGUGGAAUUAAUUCAGGAAAAAUACUUUAGGGAGAAAACUAAUGAAGCAGAUUAGUUUAUGGGGUUUCUUAAUGAGCCUAAAAGUUUAGGGGGGUUUGGUGUGGGUUUAAGUAGUUUGGGGGGUGUAAAGAAGGCAUCCCUUUAUUAGAACAUUGAUUCACAUUAACCUUGCUAAUGAAUCUGACCUCCUCCCCUUUUUUUUGGUGAGUGAAGAGAUAACUGUUCAAGGCAUAAAGUAGUUCCAAGUUGUGGGAGACCAUUGGGACUUAGCUUCCAUAAGAAAACAGGAGAUCUGUACUUUUGUGAUGGUUACUUUGGAGUCAUGAAGGCCGGACCAGAGGGAGGCUUGGCCGAGUUAGUUGUUGAUGAAGCCGAAGGUCGCAAAGUCAUGUUUGCGAACCAAAUGGAUAUAGACCAAGAGGAAGACGCUUUCUACUUCAAUCAGCGAUAAAUACCACUUCGAGUAAUUAAAAAAUUACAUCUUCGUUAAUUUAGAUUCACGGUCUUAAUAUUUUUUAUCUUGUUGGUAACAUUAGCAAAACAUGGAAAAUGAAAACAUAAAUAAAUUGAAUAAUAAAUAAUCUAUAUAUAGAAUAGAUUAAUAGAAUGUGUAACAUAGCCAAUAAAUCUAAAAAGUGAUCGUAUAUAUAUUAUAUCAAACAAACAUAUAUACUUGUAAGUUGUAACCAACUUGAGUAUGUAUUAUGUUUGUUUUGUUGGACAGGCAAGUGUUCUACGUGUAUAUGUCAGGGGAGAAGACAGGAAGAGUAAUUAAAUACGAUAUGAAGAAGAAAGAGGCCACAGUUAUAAUGGACAAACUUCAUUUACCUAAUGGUUUAGCUCUAAGCAAGGACGGAUCCUUUGUACUCACCUGCGAAAGUGGUACAAAUACUAUCCAUAGAAUAUGGGUCAAGGGUCCUAAAGCCGGGACCAACGAGGUUUUCGCCAAGAUUCCGGGUCCUAUGGACGAUAUCCGACGCACGCCGACAGGAGAUUUUUGGGUGGCAUUGCACUCCAAAGACAGUUUGUUUACUCGUGUGUUUCUAAGUCACUCUUUUGUUGGAAAGUUUUUCAUCAAAACGCUUAAUUUAAUGGUGGGAAACCUCAUCGAAUUGUUGUGAAACUCUCUGGAGAGACAGGAGAGAUUCUUGAGAUACUUGAGGACAGAAGGGAAGACGAUGAAGUAUGUUAGUGAAGCAUAUGAGAGAGAAGAUGGCAAGUUAUGGAUUGGGUCUGUGUAUUGGCCGGCCGUUUGGGUUCUUGAUAAAUCUGUUUACGGUCUCAAAUGAGCUAGCGAAAAGUAGUAAUUUGAUGGUAUGAUCUUCUUUUUAACUUGUUAGAAGACAU
RNAcentral lists this long non-coding RNA (73719 nucleotides) under Brassica napus (rape). RNAcentral's name for it is "long non-coding RNA (BNAP_LNC015820)". The record is from RNAcentral. Lineage: Eukaryota; Viridiplantae; Streptophyta; Magnoliopsida; Brassicales; Brassicaceae.